GAGGUGCCCCCGUUUGGAAAUGCUUUUCCCUACCUUCACUGUGAAAUUUCUCAGGAAAAUCAAAGAGCUGGUGGUGGAGUCAUGUGAAGAUCUAGAACUAAUUGCUGGCCAUGAAAAAUGGGAAGAAGUGACCGGCACCACAAUCACCUUCUCCGAGUUAACUGAUCUUAAACUUUUCAAGUUGCCGAAAUUCAAAAGCUUCUUACCUGAGAAAUACUCUCUAAAAUUCUCGUGCUACGAGAACUUCCCAUCCUUGAAAGCCUUGAGUAUAGUAAGCUGUGGAGCAGAGCCAGACCUAAGCUAUGAAGUAGAGUCGAACCAACUCUCUGAUUACUCGGAAGACUCGGACCCGCGCUAUGAAGCAGAGUGGAACUAAGUCCUUGAUUACUCGGAAGACUCCCAAAUAGAAUGAAGACUUCGCAAGCAUUCAUAAGACAUCAGGUAUUCCUUCAAUAUUUCAUUGCUUUGGUUUGGCUUUUUGUUCCUUUGAAUCAAAAAUCGGUUUGUAUAGCUAAGACACAAUUCUUAGUGGGACCCAGACGCACUCUACAUCACGUGGCCCUCUCUCUUCCUUUUUCUCUCUCUCUAGCUCUCUUUCUUACUCUCUUCAACUAACGAUGUAUCGAUUCCCUUCUAUCCAUCCACCCACAGCCGCCACCGAGAGUCCAUCGCUGGCCACCACAUGACAUGGCGCGCUGAGAAGGGACGAAGAACAGAGAGCAUUGAUCGAAGGCUCUCGGUGAUUUCAAUUGAAUCCUUUCCUCUCACUUGGCUGCUUGUCGUCACCGCUUCCCGAUCACCACUUGUUCUGCUACCGCGAAGAAGUUCUGUAAUGUCGGAGUGCUCGAACUUGGGUCACGACUGCCUACUUCGACGAUUCCAUCCCUUGAUGUUGCUUCUAUUAUUUCUUUACUCAUAUCCGAUCUCAAUUGCUAUAGCUAAUCGUUCUCUAGUCAACUAAACCAUAUAUGCUAUGUUUUCUGUUCCUAUUGCUACUGUCUGUGUGCAAAUCAACGACUAUGAUUGAAGGGUUGUAUUAAUGAUUUGAAGCAGUGCUUCUCGGCCUAAAUUAAUGUAUGCAACCUGUUUGAUGAAAUUCCUGAACUAAGUCGGUGUGUAUUUUUUAUUCAAUUCUUGACCGAGAAUUCCCUUGAUUACUAGAUUGUUGAUCUAUACUGGUCAUUUAAGCAUAUUUGAGUUGUGUUUCUUCAUAGAAAAAUCAUAGGUGUUCAAUUUCAAACUUGUUUGGAAUCUGCUGGAACCUUGUCGAUACUUGCUGAUUCGCCAUUGUUGCGGCCCUGAGCUGAUGUCAAUUGGUCCUUGAUUUUAUGCUAUUCCACUCAAGUAAGCAUGUGCAGUGAUAUAAGAUUGUCUUAUGGUGAAUUUCAUGUUUGUUUGGAAAAGAAAUUAUGUCAUGGAUGAAUGAAAUUCUACUGGAAAUUGAUCCAUGUAUGCUGGCCCUGUCUUGAUAUCCCUGAUUGGGUGUGCUUUUGAUUCCAGCUUGAAGCUAGUUUGGUUAUGGGAUCAUAUAUGUUCAUGCUAGGAAAGUAAUAGGGUGAAUUUCAUACCAUUUAGCGAGAAUUGGGUUCAUCUCCGAACUUGAAUAUGCUAGAGCGAAGUAUUGCAUGCUGACCAUGAUUGUUUUGUUUAAAUUUGGCACUAAUUUGGUCUUUGAUUGAUGUCAUUUUGAUCAAGUAGACUCAUAUGCACUUAUAGGAUGAUAUGGCUCCUAUUCAUGUGAAUUAGUCAUCAAAAGAUCACAAUUUGUGGUCUUUAUGCUCUGUUACAAUUUUGAACACGUGCCGGAAUUUUUGUCUUUAUUUGGUUGCCUUCUUUAUUGCCCGUGGAUAAGUGAUAUGCAUGUGCAUGAUUAAAUUGAUGAGACGUGCGCUUGAUAUUGCCAUGAGAGUCUUGGCCUGAUAAAUAAUUUAGAGGACUCUAAUGUUAAUUGAAGUUUAAUUCCAUAAUUCUUGCGAUUCCAAAGGAAACCCUUUACUAGUACACAUAUUUUGAAGGUGAUAUGGUAGACUAAGCCAGAUUUGAGGAAAUCCCUCAACGAAGCUAGUCAAUGAGGCCCCUCGAAAUAUCGCAUGUAUGACACUUGCCAACAAAGUUCAUGUAUUCUCUUCCUCUCCUUUGACGCUCACCGUUCAAGGCUUAUUUACAAGAGCUAUUGCUUAAAUCUAAUUGAUCCUUCAAGUGUGUGUGUUUGUACCAAGACACUGUGCACAACACCAAUUGCAACCUACUCAUUCAUGAUGUCCUUUUUCUAGGAGUGUUCACUGGUCACUAUUGCUCAGAAUGAUGUUUCAAAGAUACAAUUUUUGUUUUCCUCCCUCCCCCAUAGAAUUUGCAAAGGCAUGUCACUAGCACUACUAGUAACCUGCCCUUGAAAUCCAUCAUGACCCUGCCCAUAUGAUCCACCAGGAGUAGGUCCCUAGUUCCGAUUGUCUCUCCUAUAAACUAUUCUGCAAUGGAGGUGCAGAGCUCCAUCUAUCUCCUUGCAUCUAUCUCCUUGCAGCAGGUCUCUCUAUUGAUGAUAGUAAUAAUUUUUUAUGACCCUGCUGAUAGGAGGUCCCCUGAUCUGAAAAAGUUGAAUCUUUUCCCUCUAAGAAGUUUAUGCUAUAAAUCUCGAAUGGAAAACACUUAGCCAAGAAGAACUUGAUGAACCAUAUGAAUUUAUCUUAAUGUCCACACGAUAACAUCAACUCAUCCAAAGCAUUUUAUACAACAAUGGCAUUGUGUGUCCUUUCCACAACUUGCUUUAAUCAAUAGAGAAUAUCCAUCUGAAUCACAACUUUGUCCUGCUCAGCUCAUUCUACUCAUAUUUCUCAAUUUCAGCAACUCAAAACACUGCGAUUUAACCCAAAAUCACUUGAAAAUUUUGUUAUAUAUCAUUGCAUUUGCAUACUAUUAGAAUCGAAUGCCACUAAUUUUACAUAGUCGAUCAUGUCGUGAGAGCAUCGGGAAGAGUGGUGGGCUAUCCGAGGAUUUUGCCACCCACAUCGGGAAACGUUUCGAAACCGGCCAAAGGACCAACUUUACCGUCUCUGCUCACAUGGAUGGGAUACUGUAUCAGGUGGCCUCUCAUUUCCUUGGGAUUAUGUUGGUCCUCAUCCACAUAAGCUUUCCAAUUCUGUUUGGCUAUUUUGUUCACCCUCUUCACGCAUUCAGUGCUUUGAGGUUCCCUAAAGCUGUCCUCUAAAUCUCCAAAGUGCUCUGCCCAAAGCAACAUCCUAUAACCAUAAACCUACGCAGCAUAAGCUAACAUUAUUAGUCACAAGCUUAAGGUUUUGAUAGAUGUCGCUACACUCGCAAGGGUGUCUACCUAGUACCUCUAUUUAGAUAAGAGGCUAAUCCGAUGUACUAACCUGGCCAUGCGGAUGCCUCUUUUUCCCAUCCCAAGUGUGAUGCGGCUGAUAAGCCCCAUUGCGAUUUCGGUGUCUCUUGAGCCAUCUAGAGAUCUUUGGUUGAUAUUUGCCGAUCCCAUGAUCACAUACUCAUCAUCUACUAUCAUCCCUUUGGCAUGCACGUAUAUCAUGAACCUGUGAAACUUUUGAACCGAAGCCUGCAUGGAUAGAAACGACAGCAUGUUUCAAAGCAGAAGUCUUUUUACCACUCAUUCAAAAACCAUAGCUCUUAAAGACUAUUUUUGUUUUGCUUUUUUAACAGAUAAGUCAAAGGAAGAAUCCAUGAAAAGAGUAUAGACAUAUACCAAGGCAUUAUUUUCGGAUUGCUGAUUCGUUGCCUGGGAUGAAGAUUGUGUAGAGGACAAGGGCUCCCGCUUGCCAAGGCAAUAGAAGUUCAAGUAAUCUGACAGAUGGUACUUGUGUGACAACCCGACUUUUUUGAGAGUCUGGGCUAUAAUUUUGUACAUCAUCGUCAUGGUUUGUCCCCGUCCACGUCAUGGUUUGUCCCCAUCCACAUUAUCAAUACAUAAAUAUGAGAGUAGUGAAUGUUUAUCUCUUGGAGAAAAAUACUAAAUGACCUAAACAAGGUCGGGUCUCAUUUUUUCCCCUUUGAGUAGCUAGGUUUCUUCUGCUUGGAUCACUUCCUUUUCUGCUUAACUCUGUUCAAUGUGUUAUUCAGUUUCAAUUUGCUAGGACGUUACUUAUUGAUAUACCGUUAUCGAAAUGCAAGUGUCAUCGCUAUUUGUUUGCAAGAUGAAAGAGUUUAUCCUUGAUCUGACCUGCCAGAAGAGAAUUUCUUGCACUGCAGCACUAGUAAGGACACCCUCGGGCCACAUUGGUAUCACUAUAUACACGUAGAAGCGCUCAUUUUCACUGAUCUUUCUUGCGAUCUUCAACGCCAGCUCCAUCGGCACUAGAUUGUUUGCACCUGCUUGUCAAAACCAAAUCAAGCGUUGUUUCCCAUGAAAACUUGAACUCAAGAAAUUAGGACUGAAACAAAACUAGAAAAUGGGGGAAAAAUCUAAAUUUAAAAAGGUUUGACCUCAGAAAUAUAACAUAUUGAAUCAGAAGUCAAUUUUAAUGUCUUAUAUAGUGAGAUCUAGCUCUUAUUAGCUGAUACACAAUCCCCAGAGGAAGCAAAGUUCGAUACUCUUUACUAGAGGUGCUAUUGCUCACUAAACUCAAGUCAGUUAGAAUGAAUAGAAAUGUGCAUCAUAUACCUGCAUUUUUGUAUGAUGGCCAAUGGUAGGAAGAGCCAAGAAAAUAUUGGUUUUCAAUAUAGAUGAAGUGUUGCGCCGAUCUAAUCGCUUUCACAUAUGCCGUGUGAAUCCUCUUGUCUACUUUCAAGUUCUUUCCGCAUAUAAGAUUCUGCAACCAUGAAGAGAUUGAAAGAAGCAACAUUAUCAUUGUGGGCUUCAAUCUAUAUUAAAAAACACUAAGAGUUGUGCACAAGAAAGAAAAGUGACUUUCUAAUGUGAGGAAAAAUUUUCAAGUUACGCUUAUAUAACGGCCACUUGCCUAUCUACUAGCAUGGAAUUAGCAGCUAAAACUUACUUGCUUUGCAGCUUCUUCAACGCUCUUUGGGAAUCCCUUUACAGAUCCUGAAUCAAUUGAUCUGAAGAUCUAUACCAACGUAAAAUAGAAAUGAAAGACCAUCAUUACACUUCGUUUUGUUUACGAAUGAAGUCCUUAAAAAUGGUCAUUAAUUUUACAUAAAGUUUCCCGACCUGCACGUGCCAAUUUUCCAGGUCAUCUUCGUCCUUAACUUGUACUUUUUGUUGCCAUCGGGGCUUGUCGAGGGACAAAGUAUCCAUGAAAUCCUGUCAAGCCUUAAGAGAGCAUUCUCAUGCCAACGCCUGACGUUUUUUAGCUUGAACACGCGCCACUUCACCGCCUUUUUCCAUCUCUGUUCGAAAUUCUUCAAUAUGUCAUACACAGCUUGUCCCUCAACUUUGCAAUGUAGAUCAUGCCACGGUUGCCUUGGGACAUUGACAGUGGACUACAGUCGUUACCCAAAAAAAAAAAAGCAAUGAUUAAAUGAUCAGAAAAUAACGUUUACUUGUGUUUACAAUGCUGAAGAGAAACAUUAGCUUAAUUACCGUGAAUGUUGGGUUGUGAAUGUCAUUGUUAAACACGGUGUCACGAUCGCUAUAGAGUCUAUGCUUGGGAGUGUUGUGUCGGCCAUCACAUAGGUCCAACCCACCAAUGAAAGCUGUUAUUUUGCGGUUGUUUCCCGAGGCUUGAGUGUCGAGAACCACGCACUUUUGGUGGUGCGUGUACAGGGUCCCCACCACCUGGACUACAAAAGAUCCACACACCAACAAAUUAAACCAAACAUUUUCAUAGAUUUAUGCUGGAUUUCAAUUGAAUGUGCAGUCUCUACAACACUAUCAAAUUCCCUAUUAGAGCUGUCCCAGAUGCAUGUCAUUAGGUCAGAAAACACAUGAUAUGAUAUAAGACAGCAUGAGACAAAUCAAUAAACUUCCACGGAUAGUCUGAUGAAAAGAGAACCUUUCCCAUGAAAUUAUACCCGAUUGGAAUAUCAUGAAAUUAUACCUGAUUGGAAUAAUUAGGUAAUAUAUAUCAAAAGUAAUGCUUUUGAUGCAAUCAGACAAUGAGAUUCUGAUUAAGAAUCGACCUAAACAUCUAAGGAUACAUACAUGUUGCUUGAAAAUGCUGAGUUUGGUGCUUGCAUAACGAGGAGCAAGCACACAGUGGACACCAGAGUGUUGAAAAAACUUCUUUGUCUCUUCAUCAUGAGUUUGCAUCACGCCAUCCUACACAACAACAUGGCACAUGCCGAGUCUCAAUGGUGAGAGAUCUCGAUAAAGAAAUUUUCCUAAGUCGGACAGAUUUUUAGUCACAAAGAGCAUGGAUUUGAGAUUUGGCCAAAUGGUGGGUUGCACCAUAAAUAAGGAUGCUUAUUCAAGAAAGAGCCCUUAUAUAACAUAUUCUCCAUUUGGAUUUUGCAAAGGCUAACUGAAAGGAAGAACUAUUAGAGGUCAAGAUUUUGAUUAGUCCAUCCUUUGUGUCGAAAAACAAAAAACUUCUUGUUUUGUAAACAUUCAUUAAGCCGACAGUAAAAGUGAGAAAAUCCUUUACUGACUAUGCACCAUUGAUAAAAAGGGUGAUCCUUAGAUGCGAUGCCAGUAGAAUGAAAAAUAUGUUCGCAUGGGCUCUCACCACCAUUGAUGCAUUGAUUGUAACUUCAAACCACUCUAUUGCACUGGCCCAACACAUCAGUAGUGAUGGAAGCCGCGGGCGGACAAAUUUUUCUCGACCUGACAGUAUUUCAGUCAUCCCAAAAACCAUAAAGACAUUUUCAUGUUUCAGCAAUGCAUAGUUACAUGUAAGCAUGGUUUAGUAUUACCGUCUUCAAGAGGAACUUGUCGUGUGAAGUUUUGUCAUCCCAAACGAGCACGACCACUCGGACGCCUUCCUCGGACUUGUGCUUCAGGAGCUCCCCUAAAGAGAGCUUUCCUUCAUUCGGCAAUUCCCUUGUUGUUAGGGAAAUCCCUUAUGAUGUUUUGAAGAUGACAAAAUAAAUCAAAGGCUACUAACAUGUUUGAUGGUUGAGUAAUAGACCAUGCAGAUAAUAGAACAUGUAAAGGAUAUUAUCAAAGUCUGAAGACUGCUAGACUCAAGACUCAAAGUCUGAAGACUGCCAGACUCGAGACUCAAAGUCUGAAGGCUACCAGACUUUAGUAUCAAAGUCUGUUCUACCUCAGAAGUCUGUUAACUCUGACUAAUUCCAGAUUGAACGUGAAUGAUGAACCAGAAGACAGACUCUAUGCUGAAGCUGAACUGGGUACAGACCCAGAUUGUAAAGUCUAGAGACUCAGAUUGUAAAGUCUAGAGACUCAGAUUGUAAAGUCUCAAGACUCAUAUCGUAAAGUCUAAAGACUCAGACUUUACAUCCAGAUUCGAUGAAUCGUAACUCAAGCCCAAUCAUACAACGGCUAGUGAUCUGGUUUGAAUUCCACAUCAAGAUUGAUUUGAUUGAUUCAAUCUACUUGAUUGACGAUUGGAUGUUGAAGACAAGAAAUUUCUAUACGAAGAAGCUUUACUUAUGGAAACCAAGAUUUCGUUUGUAUGGGCGAUCGGAAUCAAUUUGGGAUUCUACCUUUGUCACUCAACGGCUACCAAAUCUUCUAGAUACAGAGCUGUCCAAUGGGUAUAUUGGAAGACGAUUCUCCGGGAUACUGUCCAACGGGUAGUUUGGAAGUGGAGGAGUAUUUAAGGAGAUCAUGGACCGAUGAGCAAGUAAGAGACGGAGCGUAGAAUUUAUAAUUCCAAAGUCUAAGCGACUUUAGAUCAUAUACUUGUCUCUUGAGAGCUUAAACGUUUGUAAUCAUGAGAGAAAUACCAAGAGAGUGACUUAGUGAGAUAGUGUGAUCUACUAAGUGUUUGCACUCGGAGUUGUAAUCUCUUGUUGAUUGCAUAGUGGAAUCCAGCCAAGAAGGCUGUUAUCGUGGGAGAGUGGACGUAGGCUUGGAUUAAGCCGAACCACUAUAAAUCUUGUGUUCUUAUUCUCUUCCCUAACUCCUUUAUUUUGUUCAUACUAGCACUCUCAAUUGGUAUCAGAGCCAAGUGCUCGGUUUAUAAAAGUGUUUUUACUUUUGAGCUAAAGAUUCUUUAUGGCUAGUAUGUUGGCACCAGGACUUAUGGAAGGGCAAAGCAACACAAGGCCACCAUAUUUCGAUGGAAGAAAAUACAAGCAGAAUGGCCAGAAAAGAAUCAUGAAAGAAGAUGAUGAGCAAAGAAAUCUAUGCUUAAUGGCACAUUCAGAAUCUGAGUCUGACUCAGACACAGACUCAGAAACAGAGUCUCAUUCAGAACCAGACUCAGAAUCCGAUGAGGAAAUCAAGGGGAGAAAUCAAAUCCAAAAGAAAAGGAAAAGAAUCGUGAUCAUCUCAAAAAGGCAACAAAUUGAGGGGGAGCUUUGAUCAAUUAUGGAAAAAUCUUUUUUGAUUGAUCGUGAUCUUAUUAUGGAUGGAAGGAAAGGUAAUUGUGUCAGAAUUUAUUCUACAAAAUCCGGUUAGUGCAUCUCUUAUUACCUUUUGUCAUUAACAAAUCUCAUAUUGAUAUUAUCAUGACAAAAAUGGUACGUGAAUUUUAUGAUGCAUCAGUGAUUUUUAUUGGAUAUUUGCUGAUAUAAUCGAAGUGAGCUAUAUUGCAUAUCUUUAAUAUUCGAUAAAAGCUGAUUUUUGAAAAUUGUGAUUCAUGCAAGAUAUUUGUUAUCAUUCUCUACGUGAAUCCAUUAUCACUUUUUAAUUAUGACAAAAAGGGGGAGAAGUUAUGAAUAUGCAUAUGUGCUGAUUGGUUAAUAUUAUAUUAUCUAUGGCAUAAUAUUGAGCUGCGAUUAUUUUCUAUAUAUUCUUAUGCUCAAUCUAUUUGUUAUCUUGUGAUAUCCUUUGAUUUAAAAGUAUGUUUACAAAUCUGCAUAUUCAGAGAUUGUUUUGUCAUCAUCAAAAAGGGGGAGAUUGUUAGGGAAAUCCCUUAUGAUGUUUUGAAGAUGACAAAAUAAAUCAAAGGCUACUAACAUGUUUGAUGGUUGAGUAAUAGACCAUGCAGAUAAUAGAACAUGUAAAGGAUAUUAUCAAAGUCUGAAGACUGCUAGACUCAAGACUCAAAGUCUGAAGACUGCCAGACUCGAGACUCAAAGUCUGAAGGCUACCAGACUUUAGUAUCAAAGUCUGUUCUACCUCAGAAGUCUGUUAACUCUGACUAAUUCCAGAUUGAACGUGAAUGAUGAACCAGAAGACAGACUCUAUGCUGAAGCUGAACUGGGUACAGACCCAGAUUGUAAAGUCUAGAGACUCAGAUUGUAAAGUCUAGAGACUCAGAUUGUAAAGUCUAGAGACUCAGAUUGUAAAGUCUAGAGACUCAGAUUGUAAAGUCUCAAGACUCAUAUCGUAAAGUCUAAAGACUCAGACUUUACAUCCAGAUUCGAUGAAUCGUAACUCAAGCCCAAUCAUACAACGGCUAGUGAUCUGGUUUGGAUUCCACAUCAAGAUUGAUUUGAUUGAUUCAAUCUAAUUGAUUGACGAUUGGAUGUUGAAGACAAGAACUUUCUAUACGAAGAAGCUUUACUUAUGGAAACCAAGAUUUCGUUUGUAUGGGCGAUCGGAAUCAAUUUGGGAUUCUACCUUUGUCACUCAACGGCUACCAAAUCUUCUAGAUACAGAGCUGUCCAAUGGGUAUAUUGGAAGACGAUUCUCCGGGAUACUGUCCAACGGGUAGUUUGGAAGUGGAGGAGUAUUUAAGGAGAUCAUGGACCGAUGAGCAAGUAAGAGACGGAGCGUAGAAUUUAUAAUUCCAAAGUCUAAGCGACUUUAGAUCAUAUACUUGUCUCUUGAGAGCUUAAACGUUUGUAAUCAUGAGAGAAAUACCAAGAGAGUGACUUAGUGAGAUAGUGUGAUCUACUAAGUGUUUGCACUCGGAGUUGUAAUCUCUUGUUGAUUGCAUAGUGGAAUCCAGCCAAGAAGGCUGUUAUCGUGGGAGAGUGGACGUAGGCUUGGAUUAAGCCGAACCACUAUAAAUCUUGUGUUCUUAUUCUCUUCCCUAACUCCUUUAUUUUGUUCAUACUAGCACUCUCACUUGUGAGCUCUCUCACAAGCCUCACAUGAUGAUAAAUGGACCAACCAAUGAUGUAGAUCAAGUGGUAGGUCUCCAAAAUGGCAUGGCAUAUAUCCUUUCAGCACCUACCUUGCUCAUAAAUCUUCCCAUCAUCAAGCAAAAUCUAAGGCAGCUUGCGCUUUGGGACAUGAGCAUCUUGCUAAAAUGUCACAUCCCCACCUUUCCUUAAGUGGAAAAUAUGUGUUUGGUACACUCACAUAGUUUGGCCCAACCCCAACACCAUUCUUGCAUAAUAGAUUAUCACUAAUCAGCAUGAAUUGGAUCGAGAUGUGAAGUUUUGGAUAGGACUUGAGGGGGCUUCUGAAGUUGUCAAUUAUUGGGAACUAGCCAUUGAUCGUGUUGCCAAACACAAUCUUGUCCAUUGGUAUAUCCACGACCCUGAUGAGCUCGGCCCCAAAUGCAUCUUUGUUCUUCACAUAAGACUCCACCUUCAUUAUUGGCUGCGCUAAGGAGGAAUAGAAUUGCUUGUCCCAUGGAGGUUUUCACAAUUCAAAAUUAUUAACACCUAAAUUUUGUCAACAAUGCACGGACAAAAUUAUGAACAACAAUAAUGGUAAAAAAUUGUCACACGACUUUACCUAAAAAAAAAAAAAAUUGUCACACGCCAUUGCUGGACUUCGAUUGCGGGUUCCAGUGUCGUCUGGCUGCAGCUCUGAUCGCGUGCUGUUCGACCGCGAGGCGCUCCUUCGGUUUGUUCUUUCACUUCAGUGAUCGGCGGAAGGUUGCCGUAAGUUCAAACCGCAUGGAAAAGGACGCCCCGGCUCAGUCGACUCCCAACCAUCACUUUCGAAUCUUCUCUCCACUGAUUGAGCUCUUCCAUUUCUUACUCUAAAUCAAGCCCUAGUGUCGUCCUCGCGUCAAGCUCUGGGAAUCAGAAUCAAAGUUGCUCUCGCGUCGAAUGAAUGUUUGGAUACUGCUCAGGAGGCGUUCGAUGAAAUGAUAUUUGGUCCUAAAGUGGUGGUGUGAUUAAUUGUCUUCACAUUGCAAGUGGGAUCAUAAAAUUCCAUGAAUUGGACCUUUGAUUGUAUGCGACGACACGAUAUUCUUCCGCAGCUAUGUUCGAGAAAGCUGCGAAUUUAAUUAAUGCGAGACAAAGGGCGUAGCGUUCCGUCGAUGAAGCUCAAAACAACACGAAGCCGAUCAAAGCGGGCGUCCAGAAAUGGGUAGACAGGCGCGGAGAUCCUUGCCGAUGAGGCGCGCGGCGUGCUGGAAAACGACAGAAGAGCCAAGAAAACUUGCUUCCGCAGGUAGUUUCCCAACCUGAAGGGGCACUAUCGUCUUGGCAGGGUGGCGAGGAGGACAGCCGAGGCCAUCCGGGCACUUGAAUCGCAGAGUGAAUUCCGAAAGGUCUACUACGAGAAUCCUCAGCCAUAAAUCAAUAUAUAAGGACUUAAAAGAUAGUUUUGAUCAUUUUAAUGUAAUUAGGGAUUUUUAAUUGACCAUAUUAAAAUAAUAAUCUGUUUCUUUUAAAGAUAGUCUUCUAGCUCACCACCACCCAUGAGUUGAUAUUUUUAAGCUUUGACUAUCAAGCGUGUUUGAUUUGUUAGACCUCAAUGAUUUUCUCGGGCAAAUCUGUUGCUAAUUUCUUUUCUUUUUUCAUGUACUUAGUUAAUAGAAUGUAACUUCAAAUAAAUGAACCAAGUAAUUUCUACUCGACAUCCAUAAAUUUCAUUGUUCGCUUUAAGUUUUCUCUAAGUACGUUGUCCAUUUCAAUACAAGUUUGGAUUUCUUAUUCAAUUUUUCUCUAGUAUUUUCAAUUUGCUUGCGAUUUCAGUUUCCUGCAUUUCAAUUCGAGUUGUUAAUUGUUUUGGAAAAGAUUUCAUGUAUAUUUAACAAAAAAGAGAAAUCGAGUGCAGAAAAUCUCAAUGAUUGAGCCUGACUUUCUCUCAAUAAAGAUCAAACUAAAACUGUUGACUUCAAAUUUUCAAGUCCGAAUCCAAGGGAAGAAGGAACUCUGGAGCCAAUUCUGCUUGUAUAGUUCACCACCUCAUAGGGAUCGAGUCGAAUAAAACCUUCCACUAAGAACGAGAAGACACAAUCAGGACGAUAAUCAUCAAUAUAUGCAGUUAACGAUAAUCAUCUAGAAGCGGUUUUGCCUGGAUAGCAAAACGACCCAACAAGAAGGAAGCAACGGCAAGACAUCAUCACUCGGAGCUUGAAUUCUAGGAAACGGCCGGCGAUGGUAAUGAUCUGCAUCUGGCGUGCCUGAAAGUCUUUCUAGUGGGGACAUCGCUAGCCGAAGACAACGAACGUGAAUUUGGAAUCUCUGUCUACUCCGAGCUCAGCGUCGAGGCAGAGUGAGCGCUCCUUUCUUUGGCGGAGGAGGAGGGGAGAGAAAAGGCCAGGCUAGGGGAAAAAGUUGAAAUGUUGUGGUGAUGGGCUGAUGGGCUGAUGGGUCUGGGCAGGGGAAAAAAGCCCACGGGUUGCUAUUGUGGGCCGCACCAGUUAAACCAAAUUGUCCUUUUCUAUUUGUUAUUUAUUUAUAUUUUCAUUAUUAUUUUUCUUUUGUUCUUUUUACUACCAUUCAUCGUUUUGAUGUUCUUUUUUUUUUCAAUUACAAUAAUGCAUGCUUAAUUUAUCAACUAAAUUUCAGGUGUCAACAGUUACGAAUAUAUUUACUUUAAUAUAUGAAAAAAAAUCACGCUAUCCAAACAAACUAUAAGACGUUGUAUUUACUAUUGUGUCAAAUCUUUGAUUACUAAAGGUCAUAUUUGUUUCUUGAUCGGUGGGAGAAGUGGGCUAAAAAAUAUGGCAGUGGGCUAAAAAAUAUGGCACAAUCCAGUUGAGUAGAACAUGUAUGUGUUGAUGAAAUUACAACUCAUUUAAAAUAACUUGAUUUAUGACCCAUAUUCAUAUUAAGCCCAAAUCCUAUCUCGCCCAUUUGUCAGGUCAAAGUCCCAAAAAUCGCUGUGAAGGAUUAAACAAAAGCAAUACAAGUAAAGAGAGAGAUUGAUAGAAAAAGAGAGAUGGCAAAGAUUCUUUAGUGAAAGAUGAUUCCUUCAUCUUUUUGCUUUCCCUCUUUAGAGGAUUCUUUUUUACUUUACUUAAAACGUUCCAGAUUAAAGAAAUGAUGAAAGGGUUGAGAAUUCGAAUACUGUUUAAAAAAUAUAUGACCACUAGCUUACUUAUGAGGUUACCCUUAAGUAAGUCGUCAUUAUUAUUAGGAUUUUGUCAAUGUCUAAACAAAUUGGUAACUUAUCACCUCUUCUGAAAUUUCACAAGUUAGUAAAUUAUCAUCUCUUCUGAAAUUUCACAAGCGUCUUUUUUAUAUAUCAGUAAUAUAAUAAAGUUAUAUAUAUUUCACUAAUACGGUGAUUGACUAAUUUCUUUGAAAUUUUACAACUUUUUUUGGUAAAAUACCAACUCAAUAAGGAAUCUACCAAUCUCUCAAUAAAUCAGUGAAUUAUCAAGUUUUUUCAAGUUGCUAAUUAUUAAACUAACAAGAUGAGAUCAAAAAGAGGAACAAAUAAAGAUGAGAUAACAUAGGAUAUAGACACGAAAAAGAGUCCAGGAAAAAGCAAAUAUGUGGUGGACCCACACAGUGGUGUCAGGGAAGAAGGAACAGUUUUACGAGGAAUUAUUUUUCUGGGCCCCACAGGAGCAGUUUUCUCUACCACUCUUUCCACUUCCCUCACACUUAUUGUAGCUGGGGUUGUAUAUAAUCCGGGUGAAAAUUAGAAUUGGAAAUCGCAAGUUAGUUGCAUGGAUCCAUCCGGAAUGGGAUCGUUGGUCCAAUCUGAUUCUCAAGUGGGUCCAUAGAACCGAUCUCACUAAAAGCUAUUUAAUUGUUAUACAAAGUGUUUACCAGAAACAUGAAAUUGUUUUAUAUAAUAACCAACUAAAGGCCUAAAAACAAUCGCUUGAGCUCCACAAAAUUGUCUCAAUCUUUGAAUAGUGAUUACUCUGCUGAUAAUUGCUACAUGCCAUUACCGGUUCAUGUUCUUUUUUCCUCUCUUUUUUUUUUUCUUUGAACCUGCUUAUGCCGAUCCACAUCAACACAUUUCGCAUUUGCUAAUUUUUCUCAGUCCUCUCUCUUAAGCAUGGCUUGUCUCUGCAUGGUUUUUACCAUCUCCUUCAUUGUCCUCUCCUCAGCCUCAAGCUGCAUUUUCAUGAUUGCCUCAACCUACUUGUCAAUUGGCAUGAAGUACUCUUCAAUGGUAGAUUCCUGCAUAGGUCAAGUGAGAGUUCAAACUAAAAGACGAGAUGGAGAUUGGAGCCAUAAAUUUCUAGAUUUGCUAAUUUUGAAUUUUUUUAAUAUUAAAAAGUAAUAUAUUAUUAUAAUAUAAUUGGUCCGUCCUGGGUGAACGGGUAUGCGGAUCUGCCCAUGGAACCGGAAACUGGACCAAAUCUGGACGGUUCCGAUCCAAUUCCAAGUGGUCCAAGCGGGUUUUGGUUCCUUUACACACCCCUAAUUCUAGCCAUAAGGCAAGCAUUAUUUCCUUGUUUCUUUAUUUCCUCUCCUUUUAAUCCGAGUCCUAAAACCCGCUUUACUCUAUGAAAUGACUCGAUUCAAUUCCAUGGGUCAUGCCAUUAGAAAAAGGGGGACAAUCACCUGUUGAAUAGAACCGGAUAUGUGUCGAUACAAUAUCAGCCCUUUAAAAAUGAUUUGAUUUAUGACCUGGAUUCAUAUCAAACCCAGAUUUAAUCUUACCCAUUUGGUGAGUCGAAGUUCCAAAUAUCACAAUGGAAGAUUAGACAUAGAGUAGUACAAGAUGGGGGAGAGAGAGAUGGAAGGUGAAGGAUGAUUCUUUAGUAUUUUUCUUUUCUAAUUUGGGGAUUCUUUUUCACUUUUUCAAAGUUUUCCAAAGUGAAGAAAUGAUGAGAUGCUUGAGGAUUACAAUCCUAUAUCUAAAAGGAUUGAGAAAAUUGCCCAAAAAGUCCUAAACUUAUUGUACUUUUGCGAAGUUGAUUCUAAGCCUUUUUAAUUUUAUCAAUAAAGUUCUAAACUUUUGACAAUUUGCCAAUUGAGUCUAUCCGAGUGGUCGGAAAUUGCUAACAUAAACAUCAAGCAUCCUACUUGACACGUUGUCAUUGAAGUGCACAUUUUUAAUAACAUUUUUGAACUUUUCUGGUUUUUUUCUUCUUUUAUGGUUUUCUUUUUCAUUUCUUUACUUUCUUUUUCGCCUAUCCCAGAUCUGACAAAGGUGUCACGACCCUCACUAGAUCUGGGCAAGGGCUCAUGCGCUCUUGCUUAGCGUUGCAACCCUAGCCCAACCCUCAACAACCAUGACAAGGGCCACUAUGGCCAUUGAGGAUUGCAAUGCCCUCACCCCAAAAUAGCAAGGAUCGCCAUCCGUCACUCUAAAAACCAAGAAAAGAGUAAAAGUACAAAAAAGUACAAAAAAAAAUUAGAAAAAAAAAAACUAUUUGUCAUCGUCAACAGCAAUGUGCAUCGACUUGACUAUAGAUGCUAUGCUAAAGAAUGAAUAAAUAGAGAUGAGCUGUAGAUGGUAUGCGUAAAGAAACAAGGUGGAUGCACGCAGCGACGUCUUCAUCCUCUGCAGUGGUGCUAAAGAUAUUUUCUAUGGGAGCAAGAGGUUCUUUGGAUUUCUUUCGUUGAUCAAUAUCUUGUAAUUUUGUAUCUUAUAUUACCUCCUUUUCAGUAUAGAACUUGAAUAUCACAGCUACAUAUGGAACAUAAACCUUUUAAACUAGAAUUUUUUUUAUUAGGUUCACGGUGAGUAGAAAAACAUCUUCUAAUGCAGCAAUAGAAUAAUUAUAUGUGCAUGAUGACUAUUUGAUUAUAUUGGGUGAUGUAAAUGCAUGGAUUAUAUAUUAGUAUGUUUUCUCAUCGAUUAAAACUGUUUUUGUUUGGGCAAUUGACCGAAUAAGUGGUUGCGUUUUUUUAAAAUUUACUGCUGGUAUUCGUAAAACUUGUACAAAUUUGGGACUAAAUAUGUCAUUAGAUAUGGUUGUGCACACAUUAAUGUGAUGCUUUCAAGCUUUUUUCAGCAAUUCCUUUUGAAUUUCUCUUUUACUAGGUGUACAGGUAGAUACAUGUACUUUUUUUUUUUUUUAAUAAAUGUACUAGGAUGAAAGAUAAUCUUUACUCUUAUUUUCCGAUGACUGAGUUUUGACUUCUUUCAGUGCAAUUGAUUAUACAUUUCGAGAUGUAGGGACUAAAUAAUUUCAUAUACUUUUCAUAUGUCAUUAUCAUAAAUUUGCAUCUAAGUAAAAGAAAGAACGAUAUUCACAUAUCAACCAUUCAAUUUAAUUAAAGAAAAUGCACAAAUUAUACAAAGUCCUUAGUAAUUGCCAUCUACAGCGUGAGGUUUACAUAAGACCAAGCUCCACCAUGUGCGACCAUUAACAUCACUCUGUUCUUUUCUUCUGUUUGGUCUAGAGCCGCGUUUGUCUCCCUCCUCCUCCUCUGCGUUUGAGAGAGAGCGAAGAAGGGGAGAGAGAGAGGGAGAGAGAGCAGCAGCAGCAGCAAAAGAACAACGAUGGUGAACCAUAUAAUUAAAUUGGGUUCUUUUUUGGAAAGAGGGGUGGUCCGGCUCAACCAUUGAAUAACGUGACAUCCAUAAAAUCCAUGGAGUUAAUGAACCUGUUAACAUACAUAUAAUUCCCUACAGAUACACUUUAUUUUCACUGGUCCCGUUAAUGAAAUGUAGUUAAUUAAUUAGAUUGGGUUCUUUUUGGAAAAGUGAUGUUCUCAGAAAUAAUAUAUGAUUUUGCUUAGUACUUAAAAAAAAAUGUUAACAUACAUAUAAUUCCCUACAGAUACACUUUAUUUUCACUGGUCCCGUUAAUGAAAUGUAGUUAAUCAAUUAGAUUGGGUUCUUUUUGUAGUUAAAAGCAUCUCCCAUGAACCUUCAGUUUCUUCCAAUGGAAUUACUUACGUUGUUCAAAACGCAUACAUUAUCACAAGAUUAAUAAACAUAGGCAUCUCGUAGAUCUCAUUGGAGAGUACCUCGGGCUUUUUGAACAUCCAACUAAUGUCCAUCAAGUGCAGCUGUCCCUCUGUCUCACACACGUUGGGUAAUUCUCGGAAACACAUAAGUCCCUGCUCCUGUGGGCGACUCCAAGAGACUACACAAAUACAGUGAUUUAGUCAUGUGCCCUGAGCGAGGAGGAUAGACACACUCAUUACUUGAGCAAUUACUUGGGAUUAAAAGAUAGGUGUCGCUAAGUUUUCUUAAAAGAUAACCGAUCUAAUUUAAAGUGAAAACUCUUAAUUUUUCCUUAGAGAACAAUUCUUAAUUUCCCAAAUGAAUUGUCUCCUUGUGAUCAUGGUUUUAUAUCACGUUUUUUAGAAAAUCCUAUAGUUGCCACAAUUGAUUUUUUCAUCAAAAUAAUAUUCGAAGUUGAUUUUGGCAACUUAGGGUGUGUUUGUUUAUAUUUCUUUUUUGUGUUUUUAAACACUUUUUCUGUUUUUUUGUUCUUUUGUUCCCAGGAACAAAAAAGAAACAGAAACAAGAAACACAAAUUUUGUGUUUCUUGUUUCUGAAACACUUUUGAGAAACACUUAUUAUUUUUUUAUUUUUUCUCUUAUUUUCUUGUUCUUUUUUCUUUUGGCCGGUCGCCGGCCUCGGCCAUGGCCGUAUUCCGGCCCACGCGAACCGGCCGCCUCGCCCAGCCACGGAGAGGGCUCGCCGUCCCCCGGCUAUUUGUAACCUUAAUUAAUUUGUAAUAGAGGCAGAUGGAAGAUAGCCUGACUUACGAUGCAUAUAAAAAGUGACUUUAGUGAGGUAGGAUAUACCAUUAUGCUGAUAAAAUAUCUGGAUGGAGGUUUCUGUAUUCCUGAGAGUAUCCUCCUGGGCCCUGGAAUAUAGAUGAGGCCUCACUCAACUUAAAAUAACGUCAUAAAUUAUCUCUCACAAUGANNNNNNNNNNNNNNNNNNNNNNNNNNNNNNNNNNNNNNNNNNNNNNNNNNNNNNNNNNNNNNNNNNNNNNNNNNNNNNNNNNNNNNNNNNNNNNNNNNNNGCCUUGGCCGGCGACCGGCCCAAAAAGAAGAAAAAAAAUGAAAAAGAAAAAAAGGAAAAAUAAGAAAAAAAUAGAAAAAAUAAAAAAAUUAUCCAAAUUUACCAAACAUGUUUCUGUUUAUUUUUUAUUCCCGGCCCGAAGUUAAUUUCAGUGCAAAAGAAAUGACGGAGUGGGUCCUUUUGUUUUCAAUCAAGCGUAAUUAGACAGGCAUUUGCUUUGUUGGAGAUUCCGUAGAUGUUGUGUAAAGAUGAUCAAAUGAAGCCGUACAACACACAUGUAAGCGCCGGAACCUUGCAUGCAUCGACAAAAGUACGAAAUGGAGCCAAGGUUUGCAGGGUCCACGCGAAAAAAAAUACAUGUUAGUUAAGAGUUACCAAGGCUUUGAUGAAAAAAUAACAUCAUAUUGAUAAAAAAUCAUGGGAUCCUCAGUACAAGUACCGGGAUUUUUCAAAUACGAGAGGGAAGUUGAAAGUUUUCUAUAUGAUGAUAGCCGGCUAGCCUUCAUUUUAGUUUGCGAAAAUGGUGGUCUCUUUAGUCCACAACCUCCAUCUAAAAGUUUAAAAUUUCAGAACUAUUGUAGUGUUUCCACAAAAUCUUCCAGACGUCCCAAGUCCGAUAUCAUGUGAGAUUUUGGUAAGAUUACCGCCAAGCGCUCUAAAAAUUUAAGCUGUUAUGUGAAUGUGUGGUUUAUUAUUUAAAUAUUUUAACAUACAAUAUAAUUAAGACAACAAAAUACAAAACAUUUCAUGACAUUGUGGAUGGUGGCAAAAUUCUUGACAACGUAUACCUCUUCAGAUAUAGUAAAUCCUCCACCCCUCAGCAUCGUCAACCCUUCCCUCCACAUCUUCCUCUCCACUCAUAUCUCUCAAAGAUCCCCUCUACAUCGAUCCGGUGGGCCAACACAAUUUGAGACGGUGAGAUUAUUAGUCCUCCCUUAAUUCUGGCUUUUGAGCGAUAACAUUAAGACAUUUUUGACAUUUAAGACAUUUUUAGUUCGUGAAAAAGGUUUUUCAGAGAACUCCGGGUACAAUAAUAAGUCCAUGACCAAACGACUUAUUACUAGUUUCUAUCCAGCCUUCUAUGGCUACUUGAAGAACUGAUCUUAUGUCGUACCAUGUCGAGCCUAAAUGCCGUGCUGUAAUUUUUGCACAAGGUGUCAUACCAUAUAAGCGCUUAGAAAUUUUCAGUAAUAAUCAUUUCUAUGGUAUGACAAUUGUGUAGUAGCUACACAAAAUUGUUUUCUAUAACGGAAAAAAAAAACUUCUAAAGAAAAUUUUUAAACAAUGAAGAAAAUCAGAUUCUCCUAAGGAUGGGUAGAGCUUCAUGUACCCGAUCCCAAUACUCGAAGAAUCGUGGAAAAUUGCACUACACUGCUUGUACAGAAGAUAUCAUUGCACUUUGACUUUCCACAAUUCAAGUCAAGUUCAAAGACAACAUUUUCUUGAAAGUCGUAUUAAAAUGUUAUUUUUUUAAUGCUCCAUUGGACUUGUUUUGGGAAUUCUUCUCCCCGGACGCGGGGAACUCAUCAAAUUGAUCGUUCAAGAGCUCCAAAUUAAGCUGAAGGGUCAAACAUAGGUUCAUUACCGAAUAUGGAGGCUGUAUUGAAUGAUCAAGAAGAAGGCAUAGUGAAAAAUAUCAGAUGCCGAAUCUGCAGGAGCACGUUUUGUUGUGAUAUACAGGUUUGGUGGCGGUGGGAAGAUGACUUUGCCGGUGUAAUCAUUAGCCAGUUAUUAGCUAGCUUCAACUCUUCAACUUGGAGAGUGUAGUUGGCCACCGAAGAGUGCAUAUUUUGAUUCAAACACUUUCCAAUUCUUAUGCAAGUUAUGAUAGAAGCUAGCCAAAAUAAGGACACAACAAAUAAUGUAACUUUCAAAUGACGGUUAUUUGAGUGUUAUGAUUUUUUUUUUCAAUUAAUUGAGUGACGUGGCUUAUAACAAAUUGUUCACUUGAGUUCAUUGACUUCUAAACUUUCAAUGGAUCAUUUAAAUGUUAUGACCUUUCCAAAAAAAAAAAAGUUCACUAUGAGAGUUAUGAUACGUUGAAUUUCUAGCACUUGUAGUGAACGUCUUUGAAAAAACUAUGGCACUCUAUUGAACAUUUAUUAGAAGUCAUGGCAUUCAAGUAACCGAAAAAAAAAAUAACUAUAGCACUUAAGUAAUUGAAAAAAAAAACUUGGGUUCUCAAGUUAAUGCCAUACGAAAAUCAUAAUAUUUGUAAUGUCAUUUCUCCAAUCUAAGAGCAUUGUGGACUUAUUAAAUGCAAGAUGUUUUUACAGGAAAAUAACACAUUUCGACAGAAAAACAUUUCGUCCAAAAUCAGUUGUCUCCACGUGGUAUCACAAGAGAAAGUAUUAUUGCACUUAGGGGACUCUAUUUUUGUGCAACUUUAUUAAAGCUGAUACGUAAAGAGUUCGUGAAGUGACGGGAAUCAGAGUGCAUUAUCUGAAUCGGAAUUUGGACUUGAUUUGCAAGUCUAAGGUUGCAAAAUGGAUUUUGCAGUUUAGGGUGCAUUUGUUUGCGUUUCUGUUUAAAAAUUGUUCCAGGGAACAGAAAUAAAAAAAAGUGUUUCUGUUCCUGGGAACAAUUUCUGAACAAAAAAACGCGUUUGGUAAACUUGUUCCGGGAACAAAAAAUAAAUAGAAACACGUUUGGUAAAUUUGUAUAAUUUUUUUAUUUCUUUUAUUUUUUCUAUUUUUUUCUAUUUUUUCCUUUUUUCUUUUUCCUUUUUUCUUUUUUUUUUUCUUUUGGCCGGUCGCGGAUCGCGGUAAGGUCUUGAACUCUGUUUAAGAAAAGUCCAUUUUGGGAAGCCCAAGUUGAGUCCAAUUUGCAGUUGAACCCCUCUCGAAGCCCAAUUCUGGACAAGAAGGGGCACUCAAAAUUAGUCGGACAGAGAACCUGGUGAGACCGGGCUGAAAAUGGGAAAGGAAGAACGAAGAAGCACUGUUAACCUAAGAGUUCUUAACUUCUAAGUUAUAGCUGAGAUGAUCUGCCUNNNNNNNNNNNNNNNNNNNNNNNNNNNNNNNNNNNNNNNNNNNNNNNNNNNNNNNNNNNNNNNNNNNNNNNNNNNNNNNNNNNNNNNNNNNNNNNNNNNNCGCCCCCUCCCCUUCCUUUCUUUUUUUCCUGUCUUCGUUCUAGUUGCUCCCUAUCCCCGCUUGAUGUUCUUCGCUCUUUUUUAUCCGCUCCUAUGUAGAUAUAUUUCCCCUACUUGCCCCCCCUCGUCGGCCGGUCAUCGGCCAUGGCCGAGGCCGGCGACCGGCGAAAGAAAAAAGAAAGAAAAUAAGAAGAAAAAGAAGAAAAAAUAAAAAAGUGUUUCUCAAUUGUGUUUCAGAAACAAGAAACACAAAUUUUGUGUUUCUUGUUUCUGUUUCUUUUUUGUUCCUGGGAACAAAAGAACAAAAAAGGAACAGAAACGCACCCAAACGCGUUUCUGUUCCUUUUUUGUUCCCAGGAACAAAAAAACACAAAAAGUGUUUAAAAACAGAAAAAAGAAACAUAAACAAACAGGCCCUUAUUCUCAGCUUUGGGAUAACUAAAUUAGUAUGCGAAUAACUUUAGCAAAAUGGAUUCAGACAUCGGACAAUAUUUGGUGGCAAAUGCGUUCACUUGUUUGUUGUUAAAAAUUGUAGUGGCUUGGAGAAACUCCAAACAAAAUCGUCCGGCAAAAAAAAAUUAUGUUCAUUGUUGAUGCCGGUCAAUGCCAGAUUAUGACUCUACUUUGAUGAGUUUUCACUUGACUUUCACAAAGGCUUUGUUAAAUUACUAUAUCGAAUUUGAGCCGUUUACGAAACUCGACUCGAUUUUGAUGAGUCUUUAAUUUUCAUACUGAAGAGCAAUCUCACUAAAAGACAAAACAGAGGCACAAAGUCCACUGUGAGAGAAAGAAACAAAAAGCCUUACCAUGACAUUCCUAAGCAAGGAGGGAAAAUAAGCUGUCGAACUCACGAGAAAUACUUAAUUCAGACCCUAAACAUGUUUUGGCUCGUCUCGGUGCCAAUUUUCAGUCUGCUUGAUUGGCUCUAACAGAUGAAGUUCGUCAGAUGUUUAAUUUUACUUUUCACUUUUAACGUCAAUAUUUUAGCGUCAAUAUUUUAGGGUUAUUUAUUAAUAGUGAAUUCACAUCGUUCAUUCGAUCACGAUGCAUUACGGAGGCAAAGAGAAUUCAAAUUUUCAGUGAACGUUUCCAAUUGAAGAAAAUAUUUUAAUUUCAAUCCAUUUUGACGAAAACUGUUAAAAUCAAAGAGUGAGAAAAAAAAAUUAUGCAUGUGUCUAUCUGCCGACUACAUGGACAUACAUAGCUUCACAUAAAAAAAAAAUGAUGCAUGCGUCUAUCUGCCGACUAUCUGGACAUACAUAGCUUCGCAUUCAAAAUUUCACACUAACCUUCAGCGUUUCUUUGUCCACUUUUUGGGGACUCUAUUUUCAACAGUUCACACGAACUUUCAAAAGCUUUAGAUUUCUCCCUCAACAAAUAUAUAAUAAAGUACAAAUCUCAAGAAAAGAAGCCCAGCUUUUAUGUUGACGAAGACUAGCUGAUCAACUUGGCUUACUUCGAGGGGCGAUAAAGGAUAGCCACGUAAUAAAGGUAUUACUAUUUGGGCAUUGAGGGCGAGUUUAUACUGUUUUUCUUUCUGUGGAGUAGGGGAAAUGUACACUCAUCAAGCCCUCCAGCGCUUUUCGACAGGCUCGUGUUUACAAGAGACUCCCCUCCGAAUGAUCGUUACAGGCUCUCAGAACGUGCAGAACAUGUCAUUUCAACUUUAAAAAAGUUUCUUUUGACUCUUGAGGUCAUUGAUUCCUUCCUUUAUUGUGAAGAUAAAUCAGUGUGGUAGAUAAUGGGAAAAUAUUAAAAAGUCAUGGGUGAUUCCCCUAAGGAAGUCUAGGAAAUGUUGUUGCUAAGUUCCGAUAAGUUAGAAAAUGGGAAAAAGCAAGCAUUGCUCAACAAUAUCGUUUGUCUUUCGCUGGGUGGAUAAUGAUAUUGCAUCUAAUUAUAAAAAACAAAUCAUUUUCGUGCCUUGCAAAUACAAACAGUGUCUGGUAACAAAAUACCACGAUAAGAAAUCGAAAGACUUCAUUUGAUGCCUCACAUGAAGUGCUUUCUUCCAAAAGUUUUAGGAGUGAGGUAAAACAUGUUACAAAUUUCAAACAAAUAUAUUAGCUACUAUGGUAACUAAAUACCGUAAAAAGUAAUGUGUUUGUGGUGGAGUAGACUUGCGAUGUUAAUCUUUAGUUGUUCUCGUGUACAACAUAUAUAUGUAUUUGAAAUUCAAUUGACUCUUCAAUAACUCUACCAAUUUGGAUUUGCGACAAAUACUUCUCAAGUAUGGAAAUGAUUUGGGAAAUUGUGAUAUCAAGAAUAGGCUAAUCUUAGGAAAAUGGUUAUAUUGUUUCAUCAUAGUUCAGCUAUUCAGAAUAGAAUGAAAUCGUGGACUACCAGAAUCAAAACAGCUGCAUAUUUACCAAGGCUCUCAAUCACUAGAGGUCUAUGCUUUGUCCCGUAAAAUUUUACACAUUUUUUUCUUUUCUUUCUUUUUCUUUUUUUGGCACAAAUCAAUUUCAAUACUUGAAAAGAAUUUUUUGCAGUGUAGGGCUGCGUAUGAACUCACUCCCCUCUAAGGAUAAAGCAAUGGUGACAGCUGGACAGCCCGCCGCAUUGGAGGACGAGAUGGCAUCUUCGAGAAGUUAAAAAUUGUUGUCACUAUAAACGGGCCCAGAGGUGGGUUUAUGAGUGUGUAACAAAUAACAGGUAACGCUGCCUCUAUUAAAGCCAGGUGCUGCUCUUUCCGAUCGCUGCAACUCUAAAUGAUCAAUUCCUCCCUCUAGAUCUCCAUCUCCAUUUACGCCUAUUGCUAGAAGUUGUCUCUUCACCCAAUCUUUCGUGGCUGCGGAUUCAUCCUACUGAAUCUUUCCAGUCCGGUCAUUUCCGUUUCAUUACUGGGUUCCAUCAGUUCCGCCUUUCUCAGCAUAUAUAAUUUCUCAACUUCCAUUUCUCCUACUAGAGAACCACAAAAGUCGAAACCGAAAGGGGGGAAAUGGCUGAAAUUGCUACGGCUGUGGCUUCCAAAGCGGCUGCCGAAGUGGCUGCCGAAGCGGCAAAGCCCCUGCUGGCUCGGGCCCGUCGUCGAUGCGGCUAUGUGAUAUUCUCCAAACGCUACGUCGGCCAACUUGACGAAGAACUUAAGAAGCUGAAGAACGCGAUGGACAGGGUACGACAUUCUGUUGAUUAUGCAGAGCAUAACAUGAAGCUGAUCGAAGCCGACGUCGAGAAUUGGGUGAAAGAAGCGGAGACAGUCGCCCAGAAGGCAGGCGACGUGCUUGCCCAUAAGGCAGGCGACGUGCUCGAUGACGAGGGAAGAGCUAAGAAAACUUGCUUCUGCGGGUGGCUUCCCAACCCGAAGGGGCGUUAUUGUCUCGGCAGGGACGCGAGGAAGACAGCCGAGGCCAUCCAGGAACUCAUUCCGCAGGGUAGAUUCGAGAAGGUCUACUACGAGAAUGCUCCUCCGGCUCUUGUUGAACGUGCUGCCGCAGUGAAUUCGUCAGCCUGUGUCGGGGGCGACACUAUCCAGGAACUCAAUGCGCGGGGUCAAUUCGAGAAGGUUGACUUCGAGAAUCCUCCACCGGUGCUUGUUGGCGUUGCUUCUGGCGUGAAUUCGUCGGCCAGUGAUGGGGGCGACUUUAUCACCGGUUCGCGAGCUUCCAUCUUUCAGGACAUGAUGAAAGCUCUGGAUGAUGAGAAGCUAAAGGUGAUUGGAGUCUACGGGCCUGGCGGCGUGGGGAAGACUACGCUGUUGAAGGAAGUUGAGAAGAAACUCAGAGAAGCGGGGAGACCGUUCCGCAUGAUCGUCAAAGUGGAAGUUUCGCAGAAUCCAGACUUGAAUAAGAUCAUAGACCAGAUCGCUGACGCCUUGAGUCUGGAUCUGAAGGACAAGCAAAGCCCACAGGGAAAAGCAGAUGUUCUGUCGAAGAGAUUGAAGCGUGAUCCGAAUGAGACGUUUCUCAUAAUAUUUGACAACCUGUGGGAAAAAGUUGAUUUGGAGGCGGUCGGAAUUCCUCGGGAAGACGUGAGCAGCAAAUGCAAGUUGUUGCUCACGUCAAGAUUUGAAGAUGUGCUGGAGCAAGAGAUGGGUGCUGAUCGAACAUUUCUUCUUCAAGGUUUAAAGGACAACGAAGCUUUCAGGCUAUUUGAAAACAAGGUCGGCGACAAGCUCAAAGGCAAUGAGGGAUUGAAAUCAAUAGCGGAUCAAGUGGUCAAGAAGCUCGCAGGUUUGCCUCUUUUGAUUAUCUCUGUUGCAACCACUUUGAAAUCUAGCGAUGAGUCCGCAUGGAGAAACGCGCUGAUAGAAAUAGAUGAUUCAAAUAAAGAAAAAAAAGAAACGAUAGUGAGGUUGAGUUAUGACCAUUUGAAGAGUAAGGACGCAAAGUACUUAUUCUUGCUCUGUGGUCUUAUUGGUGGGACCAUUCAAGUCGAACUUCUGUUUGUACUAGCCAUGGGGUUGGGCUUGUUUGAAAGAUUUAAUAAGACGAUACAAGCGUCGAGGGAUAGAUUGAAUGAUAUGCUCAGUGAACUCCGUUCUGCUUGUUUGUUGUUGGAUGGUGGCAAUGACACGGAUAGUGUGACCAUACAUGAUCUUUACAGCGAGGCAGUCGUCUCAGAUGCAUUUAGUGGUCCGGAUUCCUUAAUGAUUAACAAAAAUGAUGGCUUAUGGCCAAAGGAAAAGCUUGAGAAAUGUUGGGCAUGCCUGGUUAAUGUUGGCAAUGACAAGCUUGCUGAACUAAUGCUACGUCAGUUUCCCCACGUGAAGAUACUUAUGUUGUCGGAACAAACCGAUAUGAGAGAUCGUAGUAGAAUUGAUUUCACAUACAUGGAGGAGCUUCGAGUCCUCUAUCUUCGCUCCAUGCAUAUCACCAGUUUACCUUCCUCGAUGGAGAUCCUCGGAAAUCUCCAGUCAUUAAGCAUAAAUUGUCAUGUGGAGGAUGUGGCAAAUCUUGGCAAGCUCAAAGCAUUGCAAAUUCUCAGCUUCGCGUGGUCCACAAUUUCUAGGCUACCUAAAGAAAUUGGGGAACUUACAAAUUUGAGAUCGUUGAAUCUUAGCAACUGCGAAGAGCUUCAGAGAAUAGAGCCCGGUGUCCUAAAACGCUUAAUCAAUUUAGAAGAGUUACAUAUGAAGGGAAGCUUUAAUCGAUGGAUGGGCAAAAAUGACAAACCAUUGGAAUUGUGUAAUGUUGGGCUUGCCGAGUUGAAGAGCAUGACAAAGCUAAAUUCUUUGGAAAUAUCGAUUCAUGAUCCCAUCAUACUCUUGGAGGUUGAUAACCUGCCAUUUGAGAACUUGACUAGAUUUUGGAUCAACAUAGGAAAUAUUGGGGGGAGGGAAUAUGAACGUUUGACAACCAUGAAGCUCAAUUUGGAAGGGUGCGGUAGUAUUCUUUCAAGAAAAUGGGUUAAGAAAAAUCUGCAAAAGACUCAAUACUUAUAUUUAAGCAAGUUAAGUGAGUUCAAAGAGAGCCCUCGCGAAUUUUGCACCCAAGGAUUCCAAGAAGUGAAGUAUCUCGACAUUAAAGAUAGCCCCUCAUUCAAGUACAUUGCCUACUCAUCCAAUGACCACCCUCUCAAUGCUUUUGGGAAGUUAGAGUCUUUUUCCCUUGAUAAUCUUAUUAAUUUGGAGAAGAUAUGCCAUGGCCCUAUCGAACCAAAUUGCUUCAGAAAAUUGAAAACUGUGAGUGUCGGACAAUGCAACCGAUUGAAAUACCUGUGGUGUCUUUUAGAUAUGCAAAUACUUGUACAGUUGGAAGAGAUUGAUGUGUUGAAUUGUGACUCAAUGCAAUCCAUUGUCACACAUGACGCAGGAGUAGGUAUAGUUUCUACUGAUAACAGAGUUGAGUUGCCUAAUAUACGCUGUUUGCGAUUGUUUGGGUUGCCAAAUAUGACGAGCUUUUGCACUAAAGCUGAAAUCACAUCAGAGGAUACUCCAAUCCAGGUAUUUUUUCCCCCAUUUUCCCCCCUUGUCAAUUUGUCCUGUUAGGAUGAGAUGAUACUAGCGUUCACUCAACAUCGGUACAUAUUGCAUUUAACUUUGACUAUUUGUACAAUUUGAUUCACGUUUUGAUUUACAAAAAAAAAAAAAAAAAAUCCCCUCAAAUAGAACACAUACCAUAUUAUAGUUAAAUAGAAGCCUCUUUCCAGGACUGAUUUAAAAAAAAAAAUUUAAAAUUUCAACAUUGGAUAAUUACAUUGCGAACUUGGGUUUCUAUUGUGACUAAUUUAUUACUUAUUUAACAUUCUUAAUGAGAUGAAAAAUUCGUGUGCUGAACAAAUGAAAGCAACAAUGAAUCUUGAAUGAAUAAAUAAAAUUCAAUAGUUUCAAAAUGAAGAAAGCGAUGUCCGGAGAUUCAAUAAAUGGAUGGCGAGCAAGAAGACACGUAACAAAGACAGUCCCAAUAAUUCACGUCCUGCCUAACGUGUAAUUUGCAACUGAUUUCAAUAUGUCAUGCCAAGUUGCCAACGUCCUAGUGUCAACAUCAUUGUGCAGUUGAGCUACAUUGAUAGCAUGAUAGUGGUGAGGAUUUCCUCAUGAAAACGAUUUCACUUUUCACGGAAGAGAAAUUCAUUUAUUUUUUAAUUUGGCCCGAGAGUUCCACUUAUUUUCUCGUGAAAAUAGCUUUACUUGUAUCAGACUCACCCUUAAUGAGCUUCAUUGUGAUGCCAUGUCAGGUUUCAUUGCCUCGCUUGGAAUCCCUGGAAAUGGUUGGACUCCUUGGCCUAGAAAAGAUACUUUACAAUGAACCUUCUUCUAAAUACAACAAUCUAAAAGCACUAAUGAUAAAAGAGUCUAAAUCCAUGUCAAAGAGUAUUUUGAAAUUAGAUUGGAUAUUGAAGCUGCCGAAUUUGGAAUCAAUGUCCAUUGAGAGCUCUCCAUCAGCAGAAGUAGUUUUCGACGUGGAGGAGCUACAGAUCAACGGAGAUGUGGAGAUUCUCUCUCAGCUAACUAGAUUGACAUUAGGGCGGUUACCAAACCUGCAGUGCAUGUGGAAACGGGAUGUAAAAUUGCAAGGAAUAUCAAUACUUCGAAACCUGAGGUUGCUAUAUGUCUAUGAAAUGGGGCUAUCAUAUCUCUUUUCAGUGUCUGUGGCUAAAUGUUUUAGAGAAAUUAGAGCCAUUACAGUGAGGAACUGUCCAAGUAUGAAGGCGGUGAUUGUGGAGGAAGGAAGAGAUGAAGGGACAUAUGAUAUUAUAGAGUUCCCAUUAUUGGAGCAACUAUGUAUAAUCCAAUGUCCCAUGGAGAAAUUCUUCCCAUAUCCUCAUGGAAAGCAAGAGCCAAUAACCAGUACUUCAGAUUCACAAGAUGCUAACUCCGAUUCCUUCUUUGAUCCAAAGGUACAAAUCCCUUCUCUUGAGAUUAUAUCCAUAAUAGCCAUAGGCACACGCUUUGUUGGGGGUUAUAAAAAAAUCUCUUUGAAGAAUUGUAUUUGGUUCUAUUAGUUAGAAUGUGUUCAUUAUUUAAAAUUACAUUUGUCAUAGUAAGGCCAUUAGUCAAAAUUCAUUCUUCCAUCGCAUCAAAUAGAUUGUUAAGAUUAAGCCAAAUUGUUAGUUGAUUCAUAGCUAUGAUCUAACGUAUAACUCUCAUGAGUAGGUUAGUUUACCAAGCUUGGAAUUUUUAUGACUUGAUUCAAUAGGAUACUUCAAAAGGACAUGGCAAGAUGAACUUCCCAUAAGUUCUUUAUGUGAAUUAGCCACCCUCAUCCUUGAAAAUUGCUCUAAGCUACUCAACGUCUUCCCUUUGACGAUCAUAGGGAGAUUGCACAAUCUAAAAGAACUCCGAGUUUCAAACUCUCUCCCUUGGAAUUGUUGUUUGACUGUAGGUCCUUUCAUAUUAUCAUGUAUUAGAACGAACAAUGUCAUAAAUUUGUCCUACUUAUCCUCCUUACAUUAUUCUCGUGCAGGUCACAUUUCCCAAUAUACGUAGUCUAAAAGUUGAAGGCCUUCAGUGCAAAGAGCUAUGGAACAAUCAAAUUCCUGACCAUUCCUUUUGGAAAUUGGGAUCUCUUGAAUUGAAGGACUGUAACAACCUCCAACGUAUUGCCCCGUCCUAUGUGUGGAAGAGGUUGCAUCGCUCUCUCCGGAUGCUAAAAGUGAGUUCAUGCCGUUCAAUCGAGAUCAUAUUCGAAGGUGAUGGGACAGAUAUUGAGUGUGGUAAAUUGUGGAGGCUGGUUUUGCAUGAUCUCAGAAAUUUGAGGGACAUUUGGCAAUCCGAUGGUCUUCUAAACGUCCCGUUCCCAAACUUGAGAGAAGUAGAGGCUGUGAGGUGCUCUCGUUUGGAAAUGCUUUUCCCUACCUUCACGGUGAAAUUUCUUGGGCAAAUAAAAGAGCUGAUAAUGGAGUCGUGUGAAAAUAUGGAACUAAUUGCUGGCCAUGAAAUAGGGGAAGAAGCCACCCGCACCACAAUCACCUUCUCCAAGUUAAUUGCUCUUAGACUUUUCAAGUUGCCGAAAUUCAAGGGCAUCUUACUUGAGAGAUACUCUCUGAAACUACUGGAGGCCUUCCCAUCGUUGCAAGUCUUGAGUUUGGCAGACUGUGGAGCAGAGCAGAACCUACGCCGUUUAAGCAGGCAUAGGUACCGGAUUGUAAAGAAUAGGUACCGGGUUGUAAAGAAUUUGCGCUGUUUAAGCUGGCGUGGGUACAUCGACCAGAAAAACAAAAAAACAAAAAACAAAAAACAAAAAGCUGGCGUAGGUACCGGAUUGUAAAGAAUUUGCGCCGUCGUGUCAGGUAAUGCACAAUUCUCAGUGGGACCCACACGCACUUUACAUCACGUGGCUCUCUUCCUUACUCUCUACAUCUAACGGUCUGUUCAUUCCCUUUUAUGCUAAUCAAAUUCUUUCUAGCCCUCUGUUAUUCCGAUUCCUCUGAUCUUCAUUGUUUUCUCUGUCGCCCUCCAUCCACCAACAGCCACCGCCGAACGGAGAGCAUUGAUCGAAGGUACUCGGGUGAUUGUUGAGCAUCCGCAGAUUACUCUCUCGGUGAUUUCAAUUGAAUCCUUUCCUCCCGCUUCGUUGCCAAUCGUCACCGCUUCCCGAUGGCCGCCAAUAGUUCCACCAAGCCGAGAAGGUCUGUGGUGCCGAAGUGCUCGAACUUUGGUCAUGACUGCCUGCUUCAACGAUUCCAUUCCUUGACGAUGCUUCUAUUAUAUCCUUACUCAUGCCCAAUGUCCAUUGCUAUAGCUAAUCAUUCUUCAUUCACCUAAACCACAUGUACUUUGUUUUCCGUUGCUAUUACUAGUGUAUGUGUGCAAAUCGACUGUGAUUGAGUUUGUAUUAAUGAUUUGAACUGGUGUUCCUCCGCCGAAAUGUACACCACCUGUUUGAUGGAAUUCGAACUAAGUCUGUGUGUAUUUUGAUUUAGUUCUUGACUGAGAAUUCCCUUCAUUACUAGAUUGGUAAUCUAUUCUGGUCAUAAAAGCAUAUUUGAGUUCUCUCUCUUCAUAAAUAGUCAUAGGUAUUCAAUUUCGAACUUGUUUUGAAUAUGUUGGAACCUUGUUAAUGCAUGCUGAUUCACGACUGUUGCAGCCCUGCCUUGAUGUCGAUUGGUCCCUGAUUUUAUGCUAUUGUGCUCAAGUAAGCAUGUGCAGUGAUAUAAGAUUGUGUCAUGGUGAAUUUCAUGUUUGCUUGGGAAAGAAAUUAUGUCAUGAAUGAAUGAAAUUCUACUGAUCUGUGGAUGCUGACUCUAUCUUGAUAUCCCUGAUUUGGUGUGCUUUUGAUUCCAGCUUGAGGUUAGUUCAGUUAUGGAUCAUAUAUGUUCAUGCUAGGAGAAAGUAUUAUGUUGAAUCUCAUGCCAAUUUUGCAAGAAUUAUAGUCAUAUGGCUUGUAGGAAGAUAUGGCUUCAAUUUCAUGUCUAUUAAUCAUCAAAAUGAUCACGAUUUGCAGUCUUGUAUGCUUUGUUACAAUUCUGCACAUGUACUGGAAGUUGUGGAAUAAGAAUGAAUUAGAUGGAUUAUGUCUUAGUUUGGUUGCCUUUUUGAUAUCGUGUGUUCUAGUUCCUUGUCAAUUCCACUUGUUCGGAUGGUAAUUGCAUGAUUAAAUUGAUGAGAUGGAUGCUUGAUAUUGCCCUGAGAGUGUUGGCCACUGCUGUUCAGAAUGAUGUUUCAAAGAGACGAUUUUUGUUUUCCUCCCUCCCUCAUAGAGUUCACUUGAGGGUUGCUUUUGUGAAAUCUAGGGGAAAGGGAAGAUUAGUCACCAGCAUUACCAGUACCCUGCCCUUAAAAUCCAUGAGGACCCUACCCAUAUGUUUUACUAGGAGUAGGUGCAUAGUUCCGAUUGUCUCUCCUAUUAACCAUUAUGCACUUGAGGUGCAGAGCUCCAUCUAUCUCCUUGCAGCAGGUCUCUCUGUUGCUGAUAGCAAUUGUUGUUAUAACCUUGUUAACUGUAGUUUCCCUCAUAUGAAUGCGCCAGAUCUCUCCUCUGUCCUUGAUAUGGAUCCCUUCCACCGGGGGCACAAUCCAUAUUGCCCAUUGGCAUGGGAUUUCUUCUUUCACCUUGCCCCUUGUUUAUUUGCCACUCAGCCUCCUUGCCAGUCAUAGUUUCUAUUGCAACCACGCAUUUUGCCCGCCCAACCUCCAUACUAAACUGGAGGUGGUCUGAGUAAUUACUCCAUUUUCAUACUUGUGACCUAAUGACUUAGUAAGCUCAACAAAACAACAAGCGUUGCUAGGUCACAAAUCAUAGACGCAUUGGAAAGUUGAGGUUGUGGAAUUAGAGGAUGAAUGGAUUAAAUGACUGAGAAAAUUUGGCAGAGAUGUAUAGUAGGUGAAAUUCCCAGUGGAGUCGAGUCAUACAUCCGUACUCCUCGAUUUGGGGAUCAAUGUAAGAAUCUGGUAAUACGAAAACAACUCCUGGUAGAUAGGAAACUCAUCAAAGACACUUGCUUUUGAAUUGCUCUGACUCUGUUUCAGUCUAUCAUAGCUUGAUAAGUGGUUGUGCUACAUGCACAAAUUCUCUUUUUUGAUUCCUCAAAUUUAAACACGAGUAUCAAAUGUCAUCUCAACUUUGCAAUGUAGAUCAUGCCACGGUUGCCUUGGGACAUUGAUAGUGGACUACACUCAUCACAAAAAGCACUUAAUUCUCAUGAUCAGGAAAUAACAUAUCCAUGAUGUUAUGGUGCUAAAUGUAAGCAUCAGAUUAACUACUGUCGAUUUUUAAAAAAGGUGUCAAGAGCCUAUGCUCAGGAUAGUCAUAUCGACCAUCGCAUAGGUCCAACCCGCCAAUGAAAGCCGUUAUUUUGUGGUUGUUUAGCAAAACAAUUUGUUUGUCUCGAGAAAAAGUACACAAUAGGAACCCCCUGCUUCAUUGAAUGAUUUUUUAAGGUUACAUUAUGGUUUUGAGUUAUUUUUCAAUAGAGAUAAAUUUUACUAUAAUUAGUCAAUGAAAAUUAGUUAUACACGUUGCCUGACAACACUUGUUAGUGAGGGUAAAUUGCUUUUAGAAUUAUGGAUGCCCAUGCUGAUUCAUUUUGGUAUACUUGUGCCCAAUUUAUGUAUUCUUAUUUAUCAUUACAAAUCCUUGUUUGACCAAAGAUCUCCAUCCGUACUACCUUAACAUCUUGUUUUAAGUCGCUUAAAUAUUUUCAACCUUUCCUCUCUUUUUCCGACGUGGAUAACUUCUUAAAAACAGAAUGUAACUUCAUUUAGUAUUAAGCAGAUAUUGAUAUUUUCAAACUUUCCUAGCAGGAAGGAGGGAGGGAGAAAGAAAUUAUGAAAUUAAAUGAAGGCGUAUAAAUGAGGAAUUAGUGGAAAGGAAGUAGAUAGAGCUGAUAUAAAAAGGGUGCAAAAUCCUUUGAUUAGAGUGAUACUUCACCGUUAUGAUAAUAUUAUAGUAAGAGAACUCGUGAAAUUGAUCUGAAUAAAUUUUCUAUUGAAAAUAUCAAUAUGAUGAUCCAUGAAGUUUCAUAAAAAAAAAAAAAAUUUUGAUUAGUUAAAUCUGACAAUCAAAAAUAAAUUACUAAUGAAAGAGAUUAUUAUCUGUGUUGACUUUAGGGGAGGAUUUUGUUGGCUACAAAAGACUCUCGAGUAUUAUUAUUUUUCUAAUUUAAACAAAGAAGGGCGAUAAUUCAUCCAAAUUACAAAGUUCUAGUCGAAAUCAAUACCAUGAAAUGGAAAAGAAUGCUAUGAGAUAUUAAAUGAAAAUCGAAACUCUAAACUGAAAUUGAAUGUGGCUUGAAAUAAAAGGUACAUUUGACUGUAAUCUGAUAGGGAGGAACUCAUUUUGCAUUUCCUUAUGUUUUCUCCCACUUUUAAGAGGAAAUAUUUUUGUGAGCCCACAAGAAAAUUUUUCUCUGCCAUUCUCUUCUUCACUUCCCUCCCACUCAUUGCAGCCCAACAAGGAAACAAAAUUUCUAAUUCUGUACCAUAACACGGUAGGUUAUAUCUUUGAAAAUCAGAAUGGGUCAACAAAUGUUCAAACAUAGCUUGUAUUUCCGAGCAUGCUUACUAAAUACUAGUUUGACACGCUAAGGUAGCUUAUUAGCAUUGGUGUAUUGUCCUCGAACAUAAUGGUAAGUUCUCCCAUGUUGAAUGUAGAUUAUGACUUUUUGAAAUUACAAAAUUUGGCCAAUUUUCCAUUGCCUUUCUAAUUGCAUUUAUGCAUUAGCAGAUAUGGAUUAAUGAUCCCAUUAACAUACAUAUAGAAACAUACUAAUGCACUUUAUAUUCACUUGUUCCAUUAAUGACAGGUACAUCAUUGCGUAAUGGAAGAAUGCUUGGCAAGCUCAGUGCAAGGCCCACUUCUUUAUUUUUACUACUUACAACUAGAGAACUCUCUCUCUUCCUCCCUCCCGCGCUUGGUCCUCUGUCCAACCCAAAGCAAGCACAACCUUAAUUUUCAUACUCCCAUAAAGAAAAGUCCUUCCCCUUUUGGGUUGAUUGUGGGCAAGGAGGGAUUCAAAGUUUCCCCAGAAAUAGCAAACAGGGAAACCCGAGCAACAUUAUCUUUUCUUUCUACUAUAAAUUCCGAGAAUCUCUAUUUUUUACUAAGACACCUGUUGUUGGAUUGAAUUCUAACGAAUCAUUCGUGAAUCUGUAAAAAACUCUUUAUUUAUUAAAUAAAAUAAAAAUUAGAAUUCAAUUCUAAUUUAAAGACAAUAAUAGAAUAGAUUAUCAUAUAUAUAUUUCUAUAUUUCACAUAGAAAGAUAAAGAAGAAUAAGUCUCAUUUAUUUAAUUAUCCAUUUCUUGCACUUAUUAUUUAAUAUAUAUACUCACUUAGAUAUACUCAAUAUAAAUAUAUACGAAUUAUAAUUAUACUAAGACAUCUUUCUAACAAUAACAGGUACAAAUAUUAAAUCAAGGUACCCGUUCUAUGGUAAUUUUUAACAACUUACCCUCUUUCUUUGUGCCUUUAGUGGGCCUCGGACUCACCGGCUUCCACCCCGGCAGUGGCAAAUGACUUCAACACUUCUUCGCCUGCCCAGACAUCGACUACCGGGGCCUUCUACCUGUGGAAGACCACUCGAGCAACCAACUCCACCUCUCUUUUGAACAAGGGAUUGCCGCGGGGGACGUUGGCGGCAAUGAUAGUGGGGAUUAGGAUGGGGGACUGAUUCUGCUGGUUGGGGGCAGCACCACAGACAGUGGAAAGUAGAUACACCACGAAUGUGGAUAGGGCACGGUGUGCGUCAUGGCGAAGCAAGGCGGCGUGGCCGUGGCCACCGUGGCCUGUUAGUGUUGCAACUGCAAAGGUGCCUCUCUAUUGUUACGAACCACGCCACCGUCUCAGCCGUUGCCCCCCCGAGCCCCACCGUCGCCUGUCGAAGCCCCAUUGACAGCUUCAAUUCGUCCCCUACCACUCUCUCUCUCUCUCUCUCUCCCGGAAAACGAUUCCACUCUACUCUCUCUCGUCCAGCAAACCACGCUUACGUUGCCUCCCAAAUAAUAAUUGUUUUUUUUUUAAAGAUAGUUUUCUAGUUCACCUCAUGCAAGACGACAUUUUAAAGCUUUGAGUUUUAAGGGCAUCCAAUUUGUUAGAUAUCACUGAUUUUCUCAGGCGAAUCUAUUGCUGUUAGUAAUUUUUUUUCAUACAGUUAGUAAAAUUUUAAAUAGAAUGGUAUCUUGUGAUAAAUGAAGUAAGUAACUUAUACUCAGCAUCCAUAAAUUUUAUUGGUCGCCUUUAGUUUUCUGUAAAUACAUUUGUUUAUUUCAGUACAAGUCUAGAUUCCCUAUUCAAAUUUUCACCUUUACUUUUAAUUUGCUUGUAUUUUCAAUUUCCUGCAUUUCGACUCGAGUUGUUUAUUGUUUCGAAAAAAAAAUGAUUUAAUUUUUCCGAAAAGAGAAACCGAGUGUAGAAAAUAGAGGUAAGAGAUACAAAGGAAAUCUCAAUAAUCGAGCCGGUCUUUCUCUCAGUAACGAAUGAAACUCAAACUGCUGACUUCAGAAUUUUCAAGUCUGAAUUUGAGGGAAGAAGGGAACAUUGGAGUCAAUUUCGUUUGCAUAGCUCUUUUGCAACAAAGGGAUUGAGUCGACUAAAGCCUUUUGUUGACACCCAAAUUUUUAUUUCACAAAAAUAAAGAUAAAAAUAAAAAAAUGAAUAAUGAAUAAAAAUGGAUCAAAUAAAAUGAAUGAACGAUGAAAAAUUGAGUCGUGUGGGCCGGAGUGUCUAGCCCACUUGGUUAUUUCCGGUUCACCCCUUAACCGGGCUUCCCAUUUACUUUAUUCUCUUGGGCCUAUUUCCUUCUUUUUCUUCGGCCCACCAGGGCCUACAAAAGAAGCCCAGCCCAUCACUCAUUCUUGCUCUUGCGCGCACGCGCUCGUGUGAAGACCGUCUGUGACUCUGGGACGCAAGGAGGAGAGAAGGUACAGUGACGGUCACCGAACAAAUGCCCGUGAGCGAGGGAUGAGAAAGGAGCCUGUGACGGAAGCAGAUCCGAGAGCGUGAAUCUUAACCGAUACACUCGCGGCUCAACCCUGCGAAAUCGAGAUAUAUUCGUGCGAGAUGAUGAUGUCUAGAGCCUGUCGCGUCGUGUUUUGGUUGGAAAAUGGUGUAAAAGCUGAAUCAAAAACCUGUUCUCGUGGCUGCACAACCUGUGUUCGACAAAAUGCUCGAACGAUGCGCCCAAAUCCAUGUUAUCCGAUCGACGUUAUAAAUUUAGUUCGAGGCUUGAUUGCGCAUAUUUUGUUGACGCUCGUCUGCUUUCUUCGUGUUUUGCUAUGUUUUUGUUUGAUUUCACGGCCCACCUUUUGAUGUUCGUUGACGGCCAUGCAAAACCGAACUUGGUUCGGCCGUCGCCGGCGACGGCGGCCGGAGAUGUAAUCUGGUGAUGGUGUGUGGUGGUAUGAGCGCCGGUGUCCGUAGAUGGCCUCUAGUUGUAUGGGUUCCAAAAAUGGAGAAGCAGAUGAACGUUCGGAGUGAAAAAAUGGCUUCGGGGAAGAAAAGGGGAAAAAGAUUAAGGGCAGCAGAAAAGGACUUGAUAAUGAAAAAGACAAAAGAGGAAAAAAAAUUUAAAACAAAUCAAUAAAAAUUUCAAAAUAUAUUUUUUUGUAAAUCCGACCAGGUCGGAUCUGGGUAGACGGGUUGGAUCGGGCUUAUGAUCCGAACCCAUUCCCCGAAUAUAAUAAUAAUAUAUAAUAAUAAUAAUAAUAAGUAAAAAAAUUUGAAAAAAAUCCAAAAAUAAAAAAUCAAUAAACAUUUAGAAUUUUAGAAAAUCAUUAAAGAUUUAAAAAAAAAUCCGAAAGGUCAUCAAAAAAUAAUAUUUCGAAAAAAAUUUCAAAAAAUUGAAAAUUCAUAAAAAUCAUAAAAAUUCAGAAAAUCCUAGAAAAUCCAAAAAAUUCAAAAAUUGGAAAAUUUCUAUAAAAAGUGAAAUGAAAAAUAGGGUUUUUUUAGGGCUGAUAUUAGAAUGCUUGUAUAGUUUCCUUUACAAUUAUAACUAAUUGUGCAUUUCAAUAUUUUGAGUAUUACUUUUCUAUUCUAGAAUGGUUAAGACGAUUCUUAGAUUUCUUUUGGCUAGGCUGUUAUGGUGUUCGUCAGCACAUAAUCGAGUAGGUACUAAAAGGGCAUUAGUCUUAAUGCUAACGUAAUCAAAUUCUCGAAUGCAGAAUAUCUGAUUACAAAAAGUAAGAUAUCCUUCCAUAUCUUACUUAGCUUCUAGUCGACCGAAAAGGCUAACAGCAACUCCUUUGUCAAAAUUUGCGUAUGCUUAAUUGAUUUAAAAUUUGAACGUUCGAUAUCGUGCGAAGUAUUGGCUUGGGAGAACUUGAGUCAAUGGAAAGUAUGACAACACCCCUAAACAUAACUCUCUUUCCCCCAAGGGGUUAGGUCGCGACACCUUCCAUUAAGAACAAAACGACACAAUCUAGAGCAAUAACCGUAACAAUAAUCAUCGAUGCACCAUUUUGAUACUAGCAAGAUCAUCUAAAAGGAGUUUCGCCUGGAUAUUAAAACGGCCGAAUAAGAAGGAAGCAACUGGAAUGACAUUAGCUGGAGCUUGAAGUCAUGGAAACGAGCAGCGAUGGAAAUGGUCUACAUCUAGUACGCCAGAAGGUCUUUCUGGCAGAGACAUUACUAGCCGAAGACAACGAACGUGACUAGGAAUCUCUGUCUCCUCCAAGCUCGGCGUCAAGGCAGAGCAAGCACUCCUUUCUUUGGUCAAAUCAAUAGCGACAUCCUCGCAGGGCGGAGGAGGAGGAGGAGGGGAAAGAAGGCCAGGUUAGGGGAAAAAGCUUAAAUGUUGCUGUGAUGGGGCUGAUGGGUUUGAGCUGCAGAUCAAAUCAAUGGGUUUGCUCUUGUGGGCCGCACCAAUUGGACCAACUUGGCCUUUUUUUAUUUGUUAUUUAUUUUUAUCUUUUAAUUAUUCUCUUUUUUUGUUCUUUUUACUACCAUUCAUUGUUUUUAUGCUCUUUUUUUAGGAAAAAUGUAUGCUUAAUUUGUCUACUAAAAUUUAGGGCUCGACAGCUUUAAAAAUAUUUACCUAAUAUUCAAAGAAGAAUAUCAUGCUGUCACAAACAAACAACAAGACAUUGUAUGUGUCGUUGUGUCCAAUUUUAACUUACCAAAGGCUAGAGUAGUUUCUUGAUCGAUGGAAGAAAUGGGCCAAAAAUAUGGGACAAUCCAAUCAAAUAGAAUCAGGUAUGUGUUAAUGAAAUAUUGACUCAUCUAAAAUGACUUCAUUUAUGACUCGGAUUCAUAUGGACCUAAUUUCGAUCUCGGCCAUUCGGUGGGUUGAAGUCCCAGAAAUCACAGUGGAAGAUUAAAUAAAGAUUGGUACAAUGCAAGAGAAAGAGAUGGCUUUUUAUAAUGAAAGAUGAUUCUUUCGUGUUUUAUUUUUCCUAUUCAAGGAUUCUUUUUCAAUUUAUUUAAAGGUUCUCAAAGUGAAGAAAUGAUUAAACAUGGCAAAGAGUCGAUAAAGAAGCAAAAGAAAUGAAUAAAUAUGUUAAGAAUAACAUAGGUUUAAAUAAAACUGAUGUUUACAAAGUUUCACCUAAAAAAAGGGACCAGGUGACCGGUCAAGUGGUCCAAGACUUGAUUUGCAAGUCAAAGGUCGCAAGUUUAAUUUCCCAAUCUAUUAUCCAUUUUGGGAUAAUUAUGCGACUAGCUUGGCGGAAUUAAUUUGAACAAUAUCUUGUGGCAAACACAUUCACCCGUUUGGGGUCAAAGAUUGUUGUGGGCCGGAGAAACUCCAAAUAGAAUUUCCAGCAAAAACAUUUGAGUCGCCGUUGAUGCCCCUCGAUGAAGGGCUGUGACUCCACUUCGACGAAUUUCCACUUCCACCAUGAAGUCGAGACAAUUUCCUUCAUGCGCAAUAGCAUAAUCAACAAAAAUCUUUUUUGACAAUAACAAUUAUAAUAGGCAAUUUUGUCUCCAGAAUGGAAAAAAAGUCAAAUAUAUGGUGGAGUAGUCAGCUAUGUAGCACCGACACGGACACGUGACACGUGACACGACACGACACGACACGUCGACACAUCAUUUCUUAAAAAUAGAGAAUUUCGACACGUUCCGACACGUUAUAUAUUAGAUAUAUUUUUAUAUAUAAAUACAUAAAUAAAUAAUAAUAAAAAUAGCCUAGAAUUAAUUUACACAAAAAAUAUUAAAUAAUAUCAUUCAUUAUUUUAAUUUGUUACAAUAAUACACAAAACUUAGAGGAAAAAAACAUUGUUUAAAGAAAAAUGCUGAAAUUAUAUUUUUAAAUUUAUUUAUUUAUCAUAUAUAGCAUUUUUUAUUACUUCUUUCAGAGUAAAAGACUUUUAAAAAAAAUAAAACAAUUCUAAAAAAUAAAACUGAAAAAAAAAAUUGACCCCGUGUGUGUAUAUUUAUAGAAUAUUGCCCAGACAGAGAUUGAAUUAUCGGGUAUAGGGAGUCCAGAAUUCUUCAGGGAGAAUUUUGGUGUCUAGAAUUGAACAACUUGCUCCUGUGUCAAUGAGAGCAAUGACAGUGAUCGGUUUGGCAAACUUUGAGGUGAGGAUUUUAACUGGGAAGUGUGGACAAUGGGUUUGACUUGAAAAUAUGUUAGAGUUUGGUUCUGGGGAUGAAGGUGAUAUAUGGAAAAUAUCCUCAGACUCUGAGUCUGACUCAGUCUCACUGGAAGUUUGGUAGGAGGGAAUAGCACAAAGAGUUUGUUCAGAUGGUUCUUCAUCAACAGAGAAUAAGGAUUCAAUAUCAUCAUUUUCAAGAGAAAUACCUAUUUCGCUUUCAAUAUGAUGGAUGAAAUGAUUCUGACCUUUUCUUGCUUGAGGACAACUUUUGGCGAAAUGUCCUUUCUGAUUGCAAAUGUAGCAACGAUUUGAUUUUUUGUGGCUUGUGCGAUCCUUUCUUUUGCGUAGGUAUCGCCAUUUCUUCUUUUUCCGGAAAUGCUUGGAGCUUUGUUUGGAUUUCUUCAUCCAAAACUUCUUGUAGUGCUUCUUCUUGCGGGAGUGCUUGCCACAUGUUCCAUCACAGUCUUUUUUGGAGCAUUUAAUUUUCAAAUCUUGUCUGGAGCAGGCUGAUUCUAGGCGUCUGUCAUCUGUGAUGUAUGUUUGCACCAUUCUGCGCUUUAAGCAUAAUUCUUCAAGGCAUAUAUGGAUCUCUUGCUGUAUUUCUCCCAAGGGAAUAUCUUGUAUCUGCCUUUGUUUUCCAAAGAAUGAUCUUUCGACCAUCUGGGAUAGUUCUUUUGGAAUGGAAGUAAGGAAAGCAUGCUUCAGAUUUGGUUCUGCUCCAAUCUGAUAAAAGGUUUGAAGCAUUAACUUGAAAUGCUUAUCAAGGUGCUUCUUCUGGAGGGAGCAGCAUCGCCUUUCGAAGAACUCUCUUUUUUUUUUAUCUCUAUGAGAUCGUCGGGUUUUCCCACAAAGACAUGAUAUAAGAGAGUGAUUGCAUGGCUGAACGCGGGUGACAUUAGGAAAUGGAUCUGAUCCUGUUCUGAAAGGGAUUGCCACCAGUGCUUUAGGCUUCCUGUAAAUCUUGUAACAAAGUUGUACAAUACAUCAUUCAUAUCAUGGUUGGUGAUAGACAGUGUAUUCAUCCAAGUGUGAAAUUCUUCAAGUCUUAUCGGCCAUUUUUGAUAAGGAAUAUCAUCAAUGGUGAAGAAUUGUUUUGAUGCAGUGGACACCUGGUGAGUAGGCUUGCUUGUCUGGCCUAUUUCGGGGUCAGAAUAAUCUGAUUCCAUAUCAUCGUCUAGGGAGUCAGCCAUGAAUAUUGAUGAAGUAAUUGGUGCAAUAGGAAGGGUAUCAACUGUAGGAACUGAGAAGGACGAUGAAGAGGAAGUAAGGGAUACUGAAGAUUCUGUUUCAGUUGCUGAAGAUUCUGUUUCAGUAUCAUAAGAAGCUUGCUUUAUUGAGAGCAAAGUCUGCUUUUCCGGAGGAUCAGGUUGUUCAUGCUGUUGGAUAACAGAGUCAGGUUCCUGGGUGCCUAAAUCCUUUAGAAAAAUUUCUAAUGGAUUUGAUAGCAUCAUCUGUUCUGGUCUUUCUCUUAUAAUAAUGGAACUUGAUCCUGUAGGUGGUGUUUUUUCUUUUCCCUUUUCUUUCUGUAGGGUUUUGAGGCGAUUUCGCAAAUCUGCCAUAUCCGGUUCUCUUCUGUAAGGAUCUGUUGGGAUAGUGGCGAAAAUGGAUUUUUUUGGUGGUGGGGGUAAAUAUCCAGUUUUAGCAGGAGGUGCUAAAGGAUCAAAUGGUCUGAACCUUCCUUCUUCAAGAAGUUGGAUUUGGUUCUUGAGUUUUUCUAUUUCUGGCUUUGGAUUUUCAAGAUAAUGGUACCCAAGAUGUUGUCCUGAUUCCAAGGCGUGAAGCCUUUUCUGGAAUUCAGAGAGUAUCUUUUUGGUACUUUCGUCAUACCUUCGGAGAUCUUGUUGCACAUUUCCGAUUUUGGAGUCAACUGCCUUGAAGGCAUUGUUUUGUGCUAACAGAGUCUCUGAUUGCCAGUUUAGAACAGCUUCAGCAGCAGAGGUUUUUUUUUGUCUUCCAUGUUCGUCCACAUCAGUGGGAGUAGAAACUUUAGGAACAUGUCGAUAUCUUCCUUGCGGAUUAAUAAACUCUUCUGCAGCCGGGAAAGAGAGUUUAGAACCUUCCUUGACCAGGGGCGGAAAGUCAGCAUCCUGGAACAUAGCGAUAGAAGAAGUAGGUGGUACUUCUUUUGGAACUUCGAAGGGGUAAGAAUGCUUCUUAGCCCACUUAAGAAUUGGCUUAUAGAAAGGAGAGAGGGUUUGCUUUUUGUGAGGAGGAGAUGGUGGUGGUGUUUUUGGUGGAUCUAGUGAGGUUUGGAAUAUAGUACUGGACUCUGGUGAUGGUGGUGGUGCAUAAGAAACCAGGAAUUGGUAUUUGUCGCUUUCACCAAGAGUAUCGAUGGAUGAAUCUCCAUCUAAGUACCUUUGGUACAUUUUAUCCUUUGGCCUUUUCCGCCGAGGUGGAGGUUUUUCAAACGGGUUUACCUCGUCAGGAGAAUUUAUACAGGAGGAACAUGGGCAGAAAGGAUCCCAAAAACAAUGGCCAUAAUUGUCUUGAUAGUAAUGAACAGGAUGUCCAUCACCAUCAAAGUGUCGAACAUGCUUUUUUGGAUCUGGCUCAGAAAUGGAUGGAGGAACACAUGGUUCAAUCAUGAGUAAGGUUUGGAAAAUGGAAGGACUUUCUUCCUUUUCUUUGCUAAAUUUGAUGGAAACCGUUCCAUCUUUUUUCCUUACGACCUCUGAGUCCGUAGAUUGGAUAGGCUUGUUGUGCUGGUGUAGCUUCUCAUAGUUGGUAAUCCAGGUUUCUGGAAGAAGCUUGGCUAACUUCUCCUUUGGAAUCUGUCUGGGAACAUGGAUGCAGGAUGCCUGGUCAUUUUGCAUGGAGAUGAACAAGGCAUCUUCAUUACCAUUGUUGAGGUUAAGAUCAAGCGCAUGGUUUUGCACUCGGUAAACCGUCUGGUAAUGUAAUGUUGCAGCUACAGAGUCAGCAGUUUGAGGGGCUCCAGUGAGUUGAAGUUGGACUUUCAUAAAAGAAAGUAACUGAGGAUCUGAAAGGGCUAUGUUGAAGUUGGGGUAUAGAGUGACAAAGACGGUUCCUGCAUUCAAAGUAGUCUGAACAGUACCAAUGCAAGCAUGCUGGUAUUGUAAAAACCCGGUGUCUAAUAAUGCUAUUCUUGCCACAACCGGUAGACCUUUACGACCAUGGAACGUGAGAGCAAGACGAACAGCUCCAUAAUGGACAUGAGUGUAUCCCUGUUGAGCCCAUUGUCUGGGGAAUUCUGGAGGGAUCUGAAGAGUAACAAAGUAUUCCUUUUCAGUAGCAGGAAUAGGAUGCUGGUCGAAUUUGGAGGACUGGACGUACUCCUUUACUUGCUUUGGGCUUUGGUGAAUUAGCUGACGGAUGGAGCGAAUCGGUGAGAAUGAUGAGUUUGGUUUUGCAAAAGCAGAAUUUCUUUGUCAGGCUUCCUUUUAAGAAAAAUGAAGAUAUAAACCCAACUAAGGCAAGCCACGUGGGAAUGAAGCCAGAACAUUUGGUUCUAGCCCAAAGGGAAUGCUCGGAACUUUUACAACAAGGACUUAUUGAAGUCUCUGACUCACAAUGGGCCUGUGAAGCUUUUUAUGUCAAUAAACGUGCCGAGCAAAACAGAGGAAAAAUGAGAUUGGUAAUUAACUAUCAGCCUCUCAAUCUUUUCCUUCAAGAUGAUAAAUUCCCUUUACCAUCUAGAGACUCUCUCUUCAGUGGCCUAACCAAGGCCCACAUCUAUUCCAAAUUCGACCUCAAAGCCGGAUUUUGGCAAUUGGGCAUCCAUCCUGAAGACAGAUCCAAAACAGGAUUCUGUAUCCCGAACCAACACUUUCAAUGGAAAGUUCUUCCUUUUGGCUUAAAGGUAGCACCAUCCCUUUUCCAGAAGGCCAUGUGUCGUAUCUUCCAGCCAAUUCUAUCAAGUGCAGUAGUAUACAUUGAUGAUAUCCUGCUCUACAGUCCUGAUGAACAGUCACACUGUCAACUUCUUGAGCAGUUUGCAGAAAUCAUAAAAAAACAUGGUAUUAUGCUUUCCCAAAGGAAGAUGAAUAUUGCCCAGACAGAGAUUGAAUUUCUUGGUAUGCACCUUAACAAAGGUACAUACUACCCAGGGCCGCAUAUAGCCCAAGAAUUAUUGAAGUUUCCUCAGGACAAUUUCACAAUAAAGCAAGUUCAGCAAUUCCUCGGGAUAAUUAAUUAUCUCAGGGUCUUUGUCCCAAAUAUUGCAAAACUCCUGAUCCCUUUGCAAUCCAUGCUGAAGAAGAAUUCCCCACCUUGGGGAAAAACUCAGACCAAAGCAGUAGCAGAACUGAAGGAGAUUAUGCAGAAUCUCCCACAAUUACAAAUACCAUCAACAGGCAAGAGAAUUCUCCAAACUGACGCCAGUGACGAAUACUGGGCAGCUGUUCUCUUUGAAGAAAUCGAUGGUAAGAGACUCCUCUGUGCUCAUAAAAGUGGAAAGUUUUCCCAAGCUGAAAUGCAUUACCAUUCCACUUUCAAAGAAAUCUUAGCAGUCAAAAAUGGAAUCAAAAAAUUUGAGUUCCACCUCAUCGGCCACCAUUUUCUGGUAGAAUUAGACAUGGCAUCUUUCCCUCAGAUGACCAAGUUUAAACAGAAGCAGAUUCCAAAUUCCCAGCUGCUUCGAUGGGCUGAAUGGUUUUCAAAAUACUCCUUUGAAACUAAGCAUAUUCCUGGAAAGAAGAAUGUACUUGCUGAUUUCUUAUCAAGGCCAAAGGCACCAGCCGAGAUCAACAUGUAUAUCAAAAGGCCUGCUUUCCAUAUGCUCAACUAUGGGGUAAAAUACAAAAUUGAGAACAUCAAAGAUUUGCAAAGCUGGAAAUAUCCCCAGGAGAUUAUUCAACAAAUCCAGAACGACAGCCUUGAUGAAAACAUGAAGAACCUCAUGUGGCAGAGCCACACAAACCUAUUCAGGUUCAACAGAGGUUCGAUUCUUUAUCCUUUUGGGUUAAACAUGAAUUAUCCAUUCAUUCAUCCUCUUAUCUGGAAAGAAGAUGAUUUUCCUGAACAGCUCAAAACGUUAUUAUGGUACUUAACCAAUAAGUAUCUAAUAGCCUUUGAAAUCCCAACCAGAAGAUUCAUUGCUAACCUCACAAGGAUAUUCUUGCUCGGAAGAAACAUUGAAAAAGAAUGCGAUAAGAAUCUUUUAGAAUUUCUAAAUUGGUUCUAUCAUCCUACAUGUUGGAAACAAGACUUGGAAAAAGAACUGAGAACCAUGACACCAGAUCCUGAAGUCCAUACCAUCCUAUUUUUCCGACGCCCUUGGAAUUUUUGCAGAAAUAAUGGUAGUAUUCUUGAUGCACCACUGGAAAUAGGAACUACAUCUUAUAAACCUAACUUGAACAGCCGAGAAUCCCGGAUUUACAAAUCUUAUCCUAGAUCUGUUCGAAUCUGUGAAAGUAAAUAUCGAGAACUCCAGAGAAUCCUAUGCCAGGAAAACAAGACCAUUCCCGAAGAUAUUUGGAAUAAUGCACCCACUACGUGGGAUCAUUAUGAUCUAGCACCAGAAGCUAAGGAAGCACUCGGACAAUACAGACAAGCCUCAUCGUCCCAAGAGCCUGAAAUGACAAGCGAAGAUGACGUUGUCCAAUCCACCCAAGACCCCUAUGCACGCUUUGGAGGAGCUCUGUCCCAGGAUCCCUACGAACAGUUCCAAAGCAUGGACACAUCUUUUUAUGCAGAACCAUCCAACUGGCCUCAGCCAAGAAUUAUUGACCUUCAGCAAGAUGAAGAUACAAACUGGGCUGAAGAAGAAGCAUCACAUUGGGCUCAUGAACAAGCAUCCUCAUCACGAAGGCUGAAUCAAAUUCUCUCACCAGAAGACCUUGAAGCCCUUGAACAGAAAUACGAGGCACAUCUCCUAGAAGAAAACUCGGAUGAUUCAACUUGCGGCUACAAUGCUCGAGACGGACGAGACCGUUGAGUCCGUACAAAUUUACUGUAGCAAAUCACUGUUCACUUUUACUGUAGCACUAGGCUAGGGAAUGUACUGUUCACAGUACAGUUACUGUUCAUAGUGUGCGAAUAAUUCCCUUUCGGUGCCCCUGUUUGUCCCCGGACCCGUGAGCUAGGUCCCUGUGUGUGUCCUUGUCACUUCUUAUUGCCUAUAUAAGGCAAGGAAGGUGUAUUGUUUUGGGCAGAGUCCCCUGAAGUAAAGUGUGUGCUUUGUGAAAAUCUCUCCAUGGCUUUCUAAAUCCCUCUUCUUCUUCUCAAAUCUGGUAGGAUCCUUCAAGAAAGGCAGCUUGGAUAGAUUAGAAAUGAUUCCAUCCUGGCAUCUCUGAGUGUCUCUAGGCUCUGAACUAAAGGGCUGAGUGGUUUUUUGCUAACAGGCUGUCCCUGAAGGGCUAGGUUCGCCCAUGUGGGAUGCAUACCUGCAAAAGAUUUACUCUCCUUCCCUGGUUCUAAGUCUAGGUCCAUUCAUGGUAUCAGAGCCAUGGUCCCAUUUUUAAUAAAUCCAUUCCAUGCGCUUGGCAAGAGAAUCCAGAUCUGAGAAGAUCUCCCCUCAUAAUGUCUGCAGAACCAGAAAUCCUUGAAGCAUCAGUUACCCUGGCACCUCCAGCUUCAUCUUCAAUACCUCCAGAAUUUCGUGUUUCUAAUGCUUCUAAGAUAGACUAUCUCUAUGAAGUCUCUCUUAGCGAUGAAACCAAGAUUUCAGAAACCCAACUCCCCCUCAUGAACCCUUAUUCUGCUUUUGCAAAACCAAACUCAUCAUUCUCACCGAUCCGCUCCAUCCGUCAGCUAAUUCACCAAAGCCCAAAGCAAGUAAAGGAGUACGUCCAGUCCUCCAAAUUCGACCAACAUCCUAUUCCUGCUACUGAAAAGGAAUACUUUGUUACUCUUCAGAUCCCUCCAGAAUUCCCCAGACAAUGGGCUCAACAGGGAUACACUCAUGUCCAUUAUGGAGCUGUUCGUCUUGCUCUCACGUUCCAUGGUCGUAAAGGUCUACCGGUUGUGGCAAGAAUAGCAUUAUUAGACACCGGGUUUUUACAAUACCAGCAUGCUUGCAUUGGUACUGUUCAGACUACUUUGAAUGCAGGAACCGUCUUUGUCACUCUAUACCCCAACUUCAACAUAGCCCUUUCAGAUCCUCAGUUACUUUCUUUUAUGAAAGUCCAACUUCAACUCACUGGAGCCCCUCAAACUGCUGACUCUGUAGCUGCAACAUUACAUUACCAGAUGGUUUACCGAGUGCAAAACCAUACGCUUGAUCUUAAACUCAACAAUGGUAAUGAAGAUGCCUUGUUCAUCUCCAUGCAAAAUGACCAGGCAUCCUGCAUCCAUGUUCCCAGACAGAUUCCAAAGGAGAAGUUAGCCAAGCUUCUUCCAGAAACCUGGAUUACCAACUAUGAGAAGCUACACCAGCACAACAAGCCUAUCCAAUCUACGGACUCAGAGGUCGUAAGGAAAAAAGAUGGAACGGUUUCCAUCAAAUUUAGCAAAGAAAAGGAAGAAAGUCCUUCCAUUUUCCAAACCUUACUCAUGAUUGAACCAUGUGUUCCUCCAUCCAUUUCUGAGCCAGAUCCAAAAAAGCAUGUUCGACACUUUGAUGGUGAUGGACAUUCUUUUAUUAUUUCUUUUGUGUAUAUUUAUAUUUUGACCCUUCAAGUAUUAUAAAUUUUUAAAAUUCACCCCGUGCGUGUCGGAAUCGCGUGUCGGAAUUCUGGACUCGCGUGUCGGAAAGAGUUGACCACGUGUCGGAUUUUUCGACACUCGUUGACCGCGUGUCGGAGCGUGUCGGGACGUGUCGGAGCGUGUCGGACACGUGUCGGAGUGUCGGACACGACACGAAGGCUUUCGGAGAGUGUCCGUGCUACAUAGGUAGUCAGCACUAAGCAUUUGACCCUUGACAUUUCAUUUACUUCCAAAUAUAUAAACACAAAAUCCUUUUCUUCUCUCGAAUAAGUAUAUACUUUAUUUGGUAUUUUAGCACAUGAAGUUAGAAUCAAUGCAAAAUUGCAACAAUCAAGUCAUAACGAUGAAUUAAAUGUUGAUGAUAAGCUUUUAUAGAGGAUGAUAAUGUGAGAUAGUCGAAUAAAACACGUAUUUAGUAGUUAUUGUAGCUCGAAGGCAAUUUUAGUACAAAGAAAUGGUGUAGUGCCUCCCUUGUUUUUAAUUAGCGGAGCAUAAAAUUUGGGAGACUUUUUUAAAAAAAAUAAUAAUUUUGGAUUCUUUGAGGUCAAGCAUAAUCAAAGGGCGCAUUUUUAUUUGUAUUUUUUUUAGUGAUUAUGUAGAUGUUGAAGAUGAUCAGAUGACACACUGAACAACCUGAGCGCAUUGCCAAGAGAUGCAAACGAUCUACAUUAUAGUAACUCAACCUUUUGCCUACUGUCUCUAAUAAUUCAUCCUUUGGUAGUGAAUGUGGAUUUUGACGGUACAAUUCACGUUUGAUGUCAUGUUCCACUGUAGAAAGAACAGGAAAACACGAUACUGUGGCCUUCCAUCACCUAGAAGGUCGACAUUGUCUUCCUUGAAUUUUUCAAAUGUAGUUCCUGUCAUCCUUGCUAAAAUAUUCAUUCACCUCACUAGCAAUCAGCACCGGAGUGCUCGAGGCCUGCCGUUCUUUUUUGGGGCACAUGUGGCCCAAGAGCAUGGGUCCGAAGUGGCACGGCCCAUUGGCCAUCCUAGCUAAAAUCUAUCUGGGCUCAUGCACAGAUAUUCGAACAUUUUCUAUAGUCGAGGACCCUUCACUAAAAAAGAGUGUUGCCCACACCUUCAUACAUAUUUUUGGAGCUCCAAUCCAUCUCAUUCGAACAUCAAAUCAUUCCCAUCUUGCAUUCACUUUAUGUCCCUCCUUUGCUAUUUCCUGUCUUUCACCGAAAGUGUUACCGACGGCCUCGCAGAUAAUUUCGGAACCUCAACCCAUCGGACAUCUGUAAAAUUUCCCAUCUCGUAGUCACUCUGUGUCCUUUCUAUCCUUCACCGAAAAUUGUCGGUGACAGCUUCGUUGACGUUUUAGGACCCUCGACCAAUCUGAUUCGGACAUCUAUCCACAAUUCGCAUCUCCCCAUCCAAUCCGUGUCCUCCCUGUCUUCUAUCCUUCACGGUAAUUCAGACAUCUGUCACGUGUCCCAUCUCGAAACGAGCAAGAGUCCAGAAAAUGCAAUAUGUUAUGGCCCCACUGAGCGUGUCUUUUCAAGGGAAGAAGGAACUCAUUUUGCAAUCCCACCUUUCCCCUCACUUUCCGGAUAAAAAUAUCCUGUGGCCCCCACAGGAAAAUCUUUCUGUACCAUCCUCUUUGUAUUACUUGAAUCUUUAUUUCCCUCACUUCUUUCCCCUCAAUUCCUGAAACCCGCUUCAUUCUACGGAAUGGCUCCAUUCGGUUUUAUAUAUACGGGUCUUGCCCUCAUAAGAAAAAUCAAGGUAGCAAACAUUUGGAGCGGCUCCUUGUCUAUAAACAUCUUUCGCUUGAUGUGAAACUCAAAAUGUAAAAAUUCUCCCACAAAUGUCAAUGUCUUCGUCGACAAUAUGUAUCGACUUGACUAUAAUUGCAUUAGUAGACGUUCCUCAAAGAAACAUUAGAGCUUGUUGUUUUUGUCAUGCCCAUCAAGCUAUACCAAGAAUGAAGAAGUACAGACGAGAUGUUAGAUGGUUUACACAAAGAACAAAAGUGGAUGAACAAGAUGAUGUAUUGAUCAUCAGUAAUGGUGCAUGGAGAUGUUUUACAAAAGAGCCAGAGGUUCUUUUAAUUUCUUUCAUUGAUCAAUAUCUUUUCAUUGUUUACGUUACCUAUUUUUCAAUAUAGAAAUUAAACAUCAUACCUUUUUAACUAGAAAUUUUUGUUAGGCCCUAGUUGAUAGAAUAGCAACUCCUAUUACAACACUAAAACAACUAUGCGUGCAUAAUUACUAUUUGAUUAUAUCGAGUUAUUUAAAUUUUUUGGUCAUACUUAUAAGUAUGUUUUCCUAUCGUUUAAAGCAGUUUUUGUUUUGGGUGAUCGACUGAAUAUGUUUUCUUUUUCUUUUGGUUAGGACGAUUGACCGAAUUAAGAGGUUGGUUUUUUUUAGAAUAUUUUUCGCUCUUAUUCGUAAAACAAUUUCUACGAAUUUGGGACCAAACGUAUAAUCAUGUGUGGCGUUGCACAUAUUAAGUCAAAGCUAGCUGCUACAACAUUUAGACAGAUAGAGAGAGAGAGAGAGAGAGAGAGAGAGAGGAUGGUACGGUGGAGUGGGGUCCCUCGACGUGAUGUUGAAAAAGCAAGAAGCUUUAAUAAUUGCAACACGAUAUGUAUAAAGUUAUAUUGUCCGUAUGCAUCAAGAGGUUGACACAACAUGAACCUUCGAUAAUUGCAACUUGAUCCACGAUGGCCAAAAAACAGCUUAACUCCACCCCGGUUAAACUCUUAACCUCACUUUCUUUUGUCCUCCUCCUCCUCCCCUGCAUUUUAGAGAGAGAGAGAGAAGAGAGAGAGAGAGCAGCAUCAGAGAGCAAUGGUCGUGGACGUGUGUGGUGGGUAAAUGUUAGGGAAGGAGAGAGACACUCAAGGAUUUUGAUUUUAUGGAGAACCGGAAAGAGGGUCAUUGAGUUGUUAACGAGGUAUAAUAAAUCAAUGGAAUGGGGUGUUCUUUAGAACUAUUAAAGUGAGGUUUUGAGAAAUAAAUGACGAGCAUAAUUAGCAAUUUCUAUAGAAAAGAAAAAUAAAAAGGCGGCUUUUAUGGACCUUCAAUUUCUCUCGAUGGAGUUGAAUAUGUAGCUCAAAGUCUAUACAUGUUCACAAAAUUAAUAGAUUAGUGUCUCUUAAAUAUUAAUGGAGUGCCUAUGUAUCCCAUGAAUCUCCAUCAAAUGCAGGGGUCCCUCCAUUUCAUACACAUCUGAUAAUUACUAGAGAUAAACAAUUUAUAUUGAUAUACCUAUAAUAAAUUUACAUUUUAUAUUACAUUCUUUUGAAGAUGGGCAAGUUGACAUGCUUGAUUUUAUCAUCUCAAUUUCUAUUCGAAGUUGGUUUUGGUAGCUUAGGGGCUGCAUGGAAACACUUCUGUUCUUUUUUUGUUCCAGGGAACAAAAAUAAAAAAAAGUGUUUCUGUUCCGGGGAACAGUUUUUGAACAAAAGAAUGCGUUUGGCAACGUUUGUUUCGGGAAUAAAAAAUGAAUAGAAACACGUUUGGUAAAUUUUAUUCUUUUUUUGUUUCUUUUAAUUUUUUAAUAUUUUUAUUUUAUUUUUCCUUUCUUUUUUAUUUUUUCUUCUUUCGGCCGAUCGCCGGCCUCAACGAGACCGGCAGCCUCGCCUAGCCAUGGCGAGGCUCGCCGGCCCCCAGCGAGGCCGAGCGUCGGCGAGGCUGAGCCUCGUCUGGGGCCGGCAACGCUCGGCCUCGCCUUGGCUAGGCGAGCUCAGGCUCGCCUAGAUCCAGCGAAGCCGAGCCUCGCCAUGGCUGGGCGAGCUCGAGCUCGCCUAGAUUCGGCGAGGCCGAGCCUCGCCGGGGGCCGGCGAUGCUCCGGCGAGGUCGCCGACCCUCGACGGCGUCACCGGCCCUCGACGGCCCGUCGCCGGCCAUGGCCGAGGCUGGCGACCGGCCAAAAAAAAAAAGAAGAAGAAAAGAAGAAGAAAAGAGAAGAUAGAGAAAAAGAAGUGUUUCUUCAAAAUCAUUUCUGGAAUAAGAAGUAAGUUUUUUUUGUUUCUUUUUUUUUGUUUCAAUUUUGUUCUGGGAACAAAAAAAACAAAAAAAGAACAGAAACGCAAUCAAACACGUUUCUGUUCUUUUUUUGUUCCCAGGAACAGAAAAACAAAAAAAUUGUUCAGAAACAGAAAUAAGAAGUGUUUUCAUGUAGGCUCUUAACAGUCUAAACUUGGGAGCUGAGCCCCCAUUCCUUUUAUACAUAGUUACUUGAGUGUCAUAAUUUUUUGUUGAUUAAUUUGGUGUCAUGAAUUUAAAAAAAAAAAAUCAUUUAAGUGACCUAACUUCGAAUAAGUGUCACGACUUUCAAUUGAUCAUUUAAAUACUACAACUCCCACCACAAGUGUCAUAAUACGUGGCACUUUUGGGGAACGUUUUCAAAAAGAUUAUAGCACUAAAGUGAAUAUUUUUUAGAAGUUUUAUAGCAUUUAAGUUAUAAAAAAAAGUGAUGAUGCUAUAAUUAUUCAAAGUUAGCCUUAUAUAACUAGGGCAUUACAGACGUUAACAUGCUAUGAUAAUACAAUCACGCAAGCACUGCUGCACUGCAAGAUGCAAUUGCAUGAAAAUGAUACAAACUUUUACCGAAAAAAAUGAGACGAGAAAAGCAUUUUAGUCAAAACUGGUGAUCUUCACAUGGUACAACAGUAGAAAGUAUUAUUGCAAUGAGCGGACUCUAAUAUUGUCCAACUUUAUUAAAGCCGAUACUUAAAAGAGCUCAUGAAGUGAUUGAAAUUGGAGUGCAUCAUCUGAAUCGGAUUUUGGACUUAUAAAGAUGAGGACCUCGGGGCUGUUGACAGCCAGAGCUGAGCACGUAUGAAAUGAUUGAUGGACGGUGAUAGUGAUAGAUAGCUGGAUAAUUCCCGCAUUUCACAAGUGGUGGGGUCCGAAGGCGAUUUUAGUUCCAAAAGAAAUGGUGGAGUGGGUUUUUUAGAUCCGUUAAAUUGAGGUUCUCAGAAAUAAAUAAUAAUUAUGCUUAUUAAUUUUUAUAAAAUUAAAUGAAAAGGCGUCUUUCGUGAUCCUUCAGUAUUCCAAUGGAGUCAUGUGCAUAGCUCAAUGCAUAUUUAUAAGAUUAAUAGAUAGGUGUCUUUUAAAUAUCAAUAGAGUGUCUAGAAUUCUUUUAACACUAAUAAUCCUCAUCAAGUAUGACGGUCUUUUUGUCCCACACACAUCAAUGAUCAUCGGAGAUACAUGUCUAUGCUCCCAAAGGUGGCCCUAAGUAAAUGCACAAAUUUGGUGAUUCAUUCACAAUUACCAUUUGAGCAACCUCUUAAAUUUAAAAGAUAGGAGCCGCUUAGUUUUCUUGAAAGAAAGCUGACAUAAUUUAAAGUGAAAACUGUUAAUUUUUCCUUAUAAAAAAUUAUUGAUUUUGUAAAUGAUAUAUAUCAUUGUGAUCAUGGAUUUAUAUCACAUUCUUUUGAUAAUAUUUUAGUUGCCACCCUUGAUUUUUUAAUCUCAAUUUAUAUUCGAAGUCGAUUUUGGUAGCUUAAUGUUCUAAACUUGGGAGCUCAGCCCCACUUUUUUUUUUUUAAACUCAUGGGAAAGGUUUUGAAAAUAUUUCUUCUACACUAGAAAUAUGUCGUUAAAGUUUAUAUUCAAAUGAUGACGUGUGAUGAAUCAAAAUCUAAUUAUAAAAGUUAUGGGUCACGAGGUUCAAAGGUCUUGGAGUUGAUGGUCACUGCAUAAUUAGCUUAAAUAUUAAGAUUUAUAUGGAAAUUGAGUGCAACUGUUGUGGAUCUUAUCUUUCCCGGAGAGGUGUAAGUUGGAGGAACAUUUCUCACCUUGGCAGCACCAUUCUAGUUUGUCGACAUCAAAAUUUCAUGUUGUCGCGGUACUGCCACAUAUUUCAAACAAAUUUGAAAACUUGUCAGCUCUCAUUAUCGAUGAAUGCUCGGCACUUUCCUGUUUUGAAAGGCUUGGUGAAGUUGAGGAAACUACGAAUUACUAGGUGCAAAUGCCUCAUAAGGACACUAAAUCUGUUGGGCUACAAUCCUUGGAGCCUCUCAAUUAGAAAGACUUGUUGAGAUUCAAGGUUUGCGGGCAUCGAGAUCUUUGUUGCACCUAACAGUUUCCUACUGCGAUUCAAUUGAAAGAUCACCUAAGCUAUGCAAGCUGAAGAAGCUUAGGUAUGUUGAACUGAGGGGUUAUGCUAAGCCAAGAGCCAUGGACAGCCGCAGUAGCCUAGGGUCUUCUUGCAAACCAAAGGUUGUAGAUCUCUCGAAAUGUGCCACCCAUGUUGUCGAGAUCGACCAAAAGAGAGACGGAUUAGAUGUCUCUUUAUGAAGAUUGAUUCCUCAUGAGGGACCUCAUCAGUUUGAUGGUUGAUUAUAUUUGAACAUUUAUAAUCAAGCAAGUUUUAUUCAUGGUAUGAACAGAAAGUAUCAGAAGCAGAAGUACAAUAUGGUUAAUGUGUAUGCAACUUAGUGGAAGAGAUUCAUCUAUAGACUUAUCUAUCAAUUCUUGGGAUUAAUAUUUGACAACAUGCUUGUCCUUGAAUUAAAUUAGUGAUCGAUGGUAAGAAAAUUAGGCACCGGUUCUUUGGCGGUGGUUGUUGUUGUUCAUGUUGUCGUCGUCAUUGUUAAUAAUGGGGAUAAUUAAUCAAAAAGUCCAACACCUAUUGUAUGAUGGUCAGUUCAGUCCUAAACAUUUCCUUUAUGUCUAUUUAGUCUAAAAUCUUUUAAUGAUUUCUCAGUGUAGUCAUCUCAGUCAAUUUUAAUUGGAAAUCAAUGACGUGAAUGUCUAACGUCCGACAUAGUCAAUUUUCUAAUAUUUUAUCAAUCUUUUAAAUUGUCUAUGCGUAGAACCAACGUCAAAAUAGGUAAAAAGAAAGAUAUUCUCCUAUUAUGUAGGACGCUGAGCCUAAUGAUUUUAAGCUUCAAACCGAACUCUAUAGAAAUGACUUGACUCGGGAUGAGAUAUAAUUUGGUUCUGAUGAACCGAAGCAGUGGAAAGUGGCCCCAAUCGAGGUGGCCUGUAUAGUGUUAAUUGAUAUUGACUGUUGAGCCACAAGAUUUAAGCUUACUGCAAUAUGGCCUCUUAGUUACCAACUUACCACAUGUCGUAUCCCGGUUCCCUAGUUUCCAGAAAUCUACGAAUAUUUAGUUGAGUGGAUGUCACCCUGUUUUGCAAAACAACGAUCACAUAUUAUAGACAACUCUAGUUAUGAUAACAAGUUAAUUAGCCGAGCAACUUAUUGCACGUUUUAUCCAGCCUUCUAAGGUCACGUGAAGAACCAAUCCCCCGUUGUAUCUUAUCGAGCCCAAAUUCAGUGUCAUGAUUUCUGCACAAUUGCCAUACCGCACAAACAAUUACAAAUUUUCAAUAAUGGUUGUUUGUAUGGUAUGACAAUUUAUGUAGGAGUGAGGGGAAAUUUGGGUUCAAUAACGGAAAAAACUUAUAGAUAAAAUAAUCAGAUUCUUCUAAGAGUGGGUAGAGCUUAAUAUUACCCGACCACAAUACUCGAAGCAGUGUGCAAAAUUGCACUGCACCACAUGUACAGGAGUUAUUAUUGCACAUUGACGUUCCAUAGUUUAAGUUCAAAUACCAUAUUUUCUUGGAAGUUGUAUUAAAAUGUUAUUUUAUAGUUCUUCAUUUGACUUGUUUUGGCAAUUCUUCUCAACAGACAGACGCGGGGAACUCUAUCAAAUUGAUCGUUCGUGAGUUUCCGGUUAAGCUGAAGGUCAAACAUAAGUUCAUGACUGAUCAUUUGGUCAUAUUGAAUGAUCAAGAAGAAGGCAUAAUGAAGACAUCGCUUUGUUGUAAUAUAUAGCAUUGGUGGCAAUUGCAAGAUGAUUUUGGUGGUCCUAUCAUUAUCUGCUAGCUUUAACUCUUGUGCAACUUGAAGAGUGCAGUUGGCCAUUGAAUAGUGCAUAUCUUGAUUCAAAUGCUUUCCAAUUCUAAUAGAAGUUAAUUGAGAUAAGAAUAUAACAAUCGAUGUAACUUUUGUACGGCAAUUAUUCGAAUGUCAUGAUUUUUUUAUUAAUUGAGUAUCACGACUUUUAAAAAUAAUAUUCACUUGAGUGACCUAAUUUUUUAAUUUUUUUUUUAUCUAAGUAUCAUAAUUUUUAAUUGGUUAUUUAAAUUCUAUAACUCCCAUACCACAAGUGCCAUGACAGGUAGUAGGCAGCACUUGUGGGGAAUGGUUGGACAGAACCCGAAUUUUGCAUUUCAAAUCUAAACAGGGAACUCAUUUUGCAUUUCCCUCCUUUCCUCCCACUUUUGGCGGAAGAAUAUCUUUUGCAACGUGACCCACGAUGCAUCGAACUCGUACUGCCCAACUGCAGCAUGAAUGAGAUUGACAUAACAUGAAGCUAUAAUAAUUGUCAAGUGAUCGACGAUGGCCUAAAAGCAAACUUAACUACACCUGGUUAAUUCUUAUCCUCAUUUUGUUCUGUCUUCAUCCUCCUGCGCGUUUUAUAGAGAGAGAGAGAGAGAGAGAGAGAGAGAGAGAGAGGGGGCAGCAUCAGAGCAACGAUGAUGGACGAGUUAGGGAGGGGAAGACACGUAAGGUCUUGGAAUUUGGCAAUGAGAAGCGUCGGCCUGUGAAUUGUUACGUUACUUAUUUUUUUGCAGAGAAUUUGAAAGAACGUCGUUACGUGCAGGUUAUUGGCAAAGAGAGAUUAGACAGAGAGAUCCAUAUAAUCCAUGAAAGAGGCUGACAUUAUCAAGUGCAUGCAACACUGAUAUGGAAUUAACGAUCCCUUAACAUAAACACAUAAUUACAAACAAAUACACUUCGUAUUCUUUGGAUCCAUUGACGAGAUGUGAUCAAUCAAACAAAAUUGGAUUUUUUUAGAACUAUUGAAGUGUGGUUUUGAGAAAUAAAUUAUGAUUAUAAUUUGUAACUUAAUUUGUAACUUCUACACAAAAAAUGAAAAAGUCAUCUCCCAUGAACCUUCAAUUUCUCUUGAUGGAGUUGUGCAUGUAAGUCAUAACCUAUGCAUAUUCCAUUAAUUAAAUUAGAUUAAGAAAUAAAAAAGGGAACUUGUGAUGACAUUUUUCCGAAGUUAGCCUUAGGCCAUUGCAGACUUAUUGCAUGCAAGAUGCUUUUACAAGGAAAAUAAUACAAUCUCUUGAUAAGAAAAGCAUCUUGGCCAACGCUGGUGGUGGCCAUAUAGUACAACAGGAGAAAGCAUUAUUGCACUAAGUGGACUCCAUUAUUGUCCAACUUUAUUAAAGCUAAUGCUUAAAGAGCUCGUGAAGUGACUGAAAUUGGAGAGCAAUUUUCUGAAUCGAAAUUUGGACCGUGGCUGCUGCUGAUUUGCUAGAGCCAAGCAUUGCUCUCGUAAUUUUUAGCUGGCACGGCCUGAAGUCAAUUUCAGUACCAAGGAAACGGUGGAGUGGACCCUUUGUUUUCAAUCAAGCGCGCUCACAUGGAUACAUAUGUUCUUUUGGAAAUUCCAUAGAUGUUGUGUAAAGAUGAUAGGACCAUAUGCUGAAAUAUGAAUGUGAAUACAUCAUAGAGAUACGACUUAAAAAAGAUAUAACUAGAAUCAAGUUAUUCAUUUAUUAGGAUAUUCAAGUGAUUGACAUAUAUAUGGUUCUCAAUUUUUUAUUAUUAUUUACAGACACACAUAUAUUAUCCUUUAGAUUUGUAUUAGUGGUUAACGAUCACGUGUCAAGAUAUGACGGAUUUUGCACUUCAAUCUCGGCUUCUCCUACUUAGAACAACUUUAGAGGCGACGCUGUCUUCUGGUAGAUGAAACCUUACGCGAUACAUGUAAGCACAGGCAGCUUGCAUGCAUCAACAAAAGUACGAAACAAAGCCAAGGUUCGUCGAGUCCAUGCAAAAAAAUACGGGUAAGGUAAGAGUUGCCAAGUUUCUGAUGAAAGAUAACAUCACAUGGACCAAAGAUCACGGGAGCCUCAAUAACAAGUACUGCGAUUUUCACAAGUAUGAGAGGGAAGUUGGGACCAAAUAUGGCUGUGCACAUAUUAUGUCGAAGCUAGACGAGACAACGUUUGGAUGGAGAGAGAGAGAGGGAGGGAGGGAGAGAGGGAGAGAGGAUGGUACGGGGGAGUUGGGCCCCUCAGCGUGAGGUUGAAAAAGCAAGGAGCUUUAAUAAUUGCAACAAGAUCCACAAUGCAUGAAGUCAUAUUGCCUAUAUGGAUCAUGACAUUGGCAUGACACGAAGCUUCAAUAAUUGCAACGUGAUCCACGAUGGUCAAAAAGCAACUAACUCCACCCUAGUUAAACUCUUACCCUCGCUUUGUUUUGUCCUCCUCUUCUACGUUUUAGAGAGAGAGAGAGAGAGAGAGAGAGAGUAGCGACAGCAGCAUCGGCCCAACAAUUGUGGACGUGCAUGGUCGGUACUUGCUAGAGAAGGAGAGAGACACAAGGAUUUGGAGUUUGCAGAGGAUCAGAAAGAGGGUCAUUAAAUUGCUAAGGAGGUGCGGUCAAUCAAUGCUAUUAAAGUGAGGUUUUGAAAAAUAAAUUAUGAGCAUGAUUAGUAAUUUCUAUACAAAAAAAAAAUGAAAAGCCGGCUUUCAUGGACCUCCAAUUUCUCUUUAAUAGAGUUGUGUAUAUAGAUCAAAGUCUACGUAUAUUCACAAGAUUAAUAGAUAGGUUUCUUGAGCAUCUGAAUCUCUAUCAAAUGGGUGGUCCAUUCAUUUCAUGCACAUCAAAUAAUUACUAGAGAUAAAUAGUUUUUCUUUUUAAAUGGGCAAGUUGCCACACUUGAUUUUUUUUCAUCUUAGUUUCUAUUUGAAGUUGGUUUUGGCUACUUAACGGUCUAAACUUGGUCGUUGAGCCCCUGUCUUUUUUUUUUUUUUAAUUCCUUGGAAGGUUUGGUGACUAUUUCUUCUAUAUUAGAAAUUAUUAUUUAUUUAAAUUCUAACCUUAAUCUCACAUUAUUCAUGUUUAUUCAUUUGGAAAAAAAUAAUAAUUAAGAUGUUGGGAAUGAGAAACUAGUUUCAUUAAAAUUUACAUUCAAAUAAUGAGGCAUAGUCAAUUAAAAUCUAACCGUAAAAUUUUGGUUCAUCGGCUUGGAAGAAUUUGUCGUUGAUGGUCAUAGCAUAAUCAGCUUAAGAUUGAUAGGGAAAUUGAGCACGACUCUGAUGGAUCUUAUCUUUAUUACAUUUCGUCAAAUAAAUUGGGCGUUAUCGGAGAUGCAACACCUAUCUCCUGCACAAUUGAUGUGGGGGGCUGAACAUUUUCAUAAUACUUUCCACACGUCAAUUGUCGUACAGAGCAUCUAAGCAAAAGCAAAGAUAGAUGGGAUGGUUCGGUGGAGUUGGGCAGUAGCCUUCACGUGCAUAAAGUCGUACUUCCCAUGCGCACCACCAGGUUGAAUAACACAAGCUUUAAUAAUUGCCAAGCGAGCGACGGUGGCCGAACAACAAACUUUAACUCCACCCUGGUUAACUCUUAACAUCACUUCGUUCGAUCUUCCUCCUCCUUUGGUGUUUUAGAUAGAUAGAGAGAGAGAGAGAGAGAGAGAGAGAGAGCAGCAUUAGAGCAACCAUGGUGGACGUGUUGUUGGCACGUGUUAGGGAGGGAGAUGCACGUACGGAUUUGGAAUUUGCAAUGAGAAGCGUGAAUGAUUUCAUUAUUUUUGCAGAGAAUCGAAAAGAUGGUCACUACGGGGAGGUUAUUAGCAGAGAGAGGUCACAGAGGAGGUGGUCAAGCUCGACCAUUGAUUAGAAUGAGAUCCUUAUAAUCCCUGAAAUAAGCUCACCUUAUCAUGUCCAUGCUAUGCUAAAAUGGAGUCAAUGAUCCCCUUAACAUGCAUAUUUACAUACAAACACACUUUUUAUUAACUAGUACAGUUAAUAAGGUGUAAUUAAUCAAUGAAAUUGGAUUUUUUUAGAAUUGUCAAAGUGAGGUUCUCAAAAAUAAUUGAUUAUGCUUAUUAAUCUUUAUAAAAUUAAGACUCAAUUCAUUUCUCAAAAAAUUCAUUUCUCGGAAAAUAAAUCGAUUGAGGAAAACAUUUCCCUUAAGGGAAAAAAACUUCUAAAAUAAGGGAUUGUCUUCACUCACUCUCUUUUAUCUCACGCUCUUACUAGUCCUCACUUCCUUCUUUUCAUUUCUUUUAAAUUCGAUUUUUUGUUUCGCUUUUCCUCUUUCUUGACUGGUGCAGGGCCCUGGGGCCUCGGAGCUACUGAUAAUUGAUGGACGGCGAUGGUGGCAGAUAGCUUGGACAAUUCUCGCAUUCCGCAAGAUGUGGGGUCUGAUGGUAAUUUUAGUCCAAAUAGAAAUGGUGGAGUGGGGCCCACUUGUUUUAACUCAGCAUCCUUAAGGUCAAGCAAUGGAAGACGCAAGGGGCAUCUUAGGGAACAUCAAUCUGGUAACGCCACAUGUAUGUAUUAACGCUCCGUGCCCCUCUCUCCGACCACCAUUGCAUCGUCUAAAUGAUUUCUUCCUCGCUCUAGAAGCCCUCUCUUUCACCUGAUCUUCUGCGGCUGUUCUUUUUGUUUGAACCGCCGCGUGUGCACCGUAUUGAAUCCUUCCUCUUCUUCAGUCAUUGUCGUUUCCGGGUUCCAUCAGUUUCGCCUUCCUCGGAAUAUAUAAAUUCUUAACUCUCGUUUCUCCGCAAAGAAGAAGGAAAGAAAGCCAGAACGGUAGAAGAAGUCGAAAAGUGGGGAAAAUUGUUAGGGAAAUCCCUAUGAUGUUUUGAAGAUGACAAAAUAAAUCAAAGGCUACUAACAUGUUUGAUGGUUGAGUAAUAGACCAUACAGAUGAUAGAACAUGUAAAGGUUAUUGUCAAAGUGUGAAGACGACCAGAAGACUGAACGUAACUCAUGUCCAAAGUAUAUUAUGAAGAUUUCCAGACUUUUGUGUCAAAGUCUAAAGAUUGCUAGACUCAAGACUCAAAGUCUGAACACUGCCAGACUUUAGUGUCAAAGUAUGUUCUACAUCAGAAGUCUGUCAACUCUGACUAAUUCCAGACUGAACGUGAAUGCUGAACCAGAAGAUAGACUCUAUGCUGAAGCUGAACUGGGUACAGACCUUAAAGCUAAAUCUGUUCAGAAGCAGAAUAUGUUCAGACUCAGAUUGCAAAGUUUAUCGCACUCAGACUCAGAUUGUAAAGUCUAUGGCUAUCAGACUUUACAUCCAGAUUUGACAGAACGUAACUCAAGCCCAAUCAUAUAACGGCUAGUGAUCUGGUUUGGAUUCUACAUCAAGAUUGAUUUGAUUGACUCAAUCUAUUUGAUUGACAAUUGGAUGUUGAAGACAAGAUCUUUCUAUACGAAGAAGCUUUACUUAUGGAAACCAAGAUUUUGUUUGUAUGGGCGAUCGGAAUCAAUUUGGGAUUUUACCUUUGUCACUCAACGGCUACCAAAUCUUCUAGAUACAGAGCUGUCCAAUGGGUAUAUUGGAAGACGAUUCUCCGGGAUACUGUCCAACGGGUAGUUUGGAAGUGGAGGAGUAUUUAAGGAGAUCAUGGACUGAUGAGCAAGUAAGAGACGGAGCGUAGAAUUUAUAAUUCCAAAGUCUGAGCGAUCUUCACUUGUCUCUUGAGAGCUUAAACGUUUGUAAUCGUGAGAGAAAUACCAAGAGAGUGACUUAGUGAGAUAGUGUAAUCUACUACUAAGUGUUUGCACUCGAAGUUGUAACCUCUUGUUGAUUGCAUAUUGGAAUCCAGUCAAGAAGGCUGUUAUCGUGGGAGAGUGGACGUAGGCUUGGAUUAAGCCGAACCACUAUAAAUCUUGUGUUCUUAUUCUCUUCCCUAACUCCUUUAUUUUGUUUAUACUAGCACUCUAAAAAAUGGCGGAUAUUGUUGUGUCUGUAGCUUGCGAAGUGGCAAAGUGCCUAGUGGCUCUGAUCGGUCGGCACUGCGGCUACGUAAUGUCCUCCGACCGCUACGUUCGCCAGCUUAAUGAUGAAGUCAAGAACCUAGGUUACACGAGGGAUGAGGUGCAGCAUUCCAUCGAUGAAGCUUGAAACAACAUGAAGCCGAUCAAACCCAAGGUCGAGAGAUGGGUGAACGACGUGGAGACCGUCGCUAAUGAGGCGCGUGACGUGCUGGAUUACGACGGAAGAGCUAAGAAAACUUGCUUCUAUGGGUGGCUUCCCAACCCAAAGGCGCGAUAUCAUCUCGGCAAAAAGGCGAGCAGGACGGUCAAGGACAUCCAGGCACUUAUUGCAGGGGGUCAAUUCGAGAAGGUUGACUUCGAGAAUCCUCCGCCAGGGCUUGUUGGCGGUGCUUCCGACGUGAAUUUGUCGGCCGGUGAUGGGGGCGACUUUAUCACUGAUUCGCGAGCUUCCAUCUUUCAGGGCAUAAUGAAAGCUCUGAAUGAUGAGAAGGCGAAAGUGGUUGGGGUCUAUGGGCCUGGUGGCGUGGGGAAGACUACGCUGUUGGAGAUAGUCGAGAAGAAACUCAGGAAAGAGGGGAGACCGUUCCGCAUGAUCGUCAAAGCGGAAGUCUCGCAGACUCCGGAUUUAAUUGAUAUUCAAGGCCAGAUUGCUGACACCUUGAGUCUGAAUCUGAAGGUCAAGGAAACCCGACAGGGAAGAAGUGAUAUUCUGUUUCAGAGAUUGCAGAGGGAUCCAAAUGAGAAGGUUCUCAUAAUAUUGGACGACCUAUGGGAGGAACUUGAUUUGAAAGCUGUCGGAAUUCCUUCAGGAGACACAAGCGGAAAAUGCAAAUUGUUGCUUACAUCGAGAUUUAAGGAUGUGCUGGAGCAGAAGAUGCUUUCCGAUCGAACAUUUUUUCUUGAAGGCUUAAACGACGAUGAAGCUUUCAAGCUAUUUGAAACGACAAUUGGCGACAGGCUCAAAGACAAAAAUGAAUUGAAAGUAAUAGCCGCUCAAGUGGUGAAGAAGCUUGCAGGUUUGCCUCUUUUAAUUAUCUCCGUCGCGAGCACCUUGAAAAAUAGCAGCGUGUCUGCAUGGAGAAACGCUUUGACAAAAAUAGAUGUAAAAAAAAUGGAAACCAUAGUGCAGUUGAGUUACCACCAUUUGGAGAGCGAGGAUGCUAGGUCUUUAUUCUUGCUCUGUGGUCUUAUCGGCGGGACCAUUCCGGUUGAACUUCUACUUGUACUAGGCAUGGGGUUGGGCUUGUUUGAGGGAUACAAUAACACGAUACAAAUUUCAAGGGAUAGAUUGAACACUACACUUGAAAGCCUCCAUUCCAUUUGUUUGUUGCAAGAUGGCGGCGAUGACAAGGAAAAUGUGAUCAUACAUGAUCUUUAUAGCGAGGUGGUUGUCUCAACUCCAUUUGGAGGUCAGAAUUCUUUAAUGAUGAACGGCAAUUAUGGCUUAUGGUCAAAGGAAAAGCUUGAGAAAUGUUGGGCUAUAUGCCUAGCUGAUGUUCACAAAAAGAGGCUUGAUGAACUAAUGAAGUGUCAAUUUCUUGACUUGAAGAUACUCAUGUUGUCUCGUCUAAAAGACUGGCGUUGGGCACGAGAAGACUCACACUGGCGUUGGGUGCGAGACUCAGACAAAGAUGAAUUGGUAGAGUGCUUGAGACUACUAGAUUUCACGUCCAUGAAGGGGCUCCAUGUCCUAUAUUUUUGCUCCAUGCAUAUCACCAGUUUACCUCCCUCGAUUGGAAUCCUCGGGAACCUCCGCUCUUUAUUCUUAGACGAUUGCAAUGUGGAUGAUGCGGCAAUUCUUGGCAAGCUCAAAGCAUUGCAGAUUCUUAGCUUCGCACGAUCCACCAUUUCUAGGUUGCCUAAAGGAAUCGGGGAACUUACAAAUCUAAGAUCGUUGAAUCUAAGUGAAUGCAAAAAGCUUAGAACAAUUGAGCCUGGUGUCCUAAAAGGCUUAACCAACUUGGAAGAGUUAUAUAUUUACAGCUUUUCUCAAUGGAUGGGUAAGGAUCAAAUACCAUCAAAAUCAUGUAAUGCUAGGCUUGCUGAGUUGAAUAGCUUAACAAAGCUAUCCUCUCUGGAAAUAAUGAUCCCUGAUCCAACUAUGCUCUUGGAGGAUGAUGACCUGCCAUUUGGGAACCUGGAUAGAUUUCUGAUCAACAUAGGACUUGUGGAGUGGGUGUAGGAAUUUAAAGAUUUGAGAGUCAUGAAACUCAAAUUGAAAGGUUGUGAGAGUAUUCUUUCAAAAGAAUGGGUUCAAAAAACUCUACAGAAGACUCAAUGCUUACAUUUACAUGAGUUGAGAGAGGUCAAAAAGAGCGCUCACGAAUUGUGCACCCAAGGAUUCAAAGAAGUGAAGUACAUCAAGAUUGAACGCAGCCCCUUAAUCAAGUACAUUGCCAAUUCAUCCGACGGCCUCCCACUCACUGCUUUUACAACAUUAGAGUCUUUGAUCCUUGUAGAACUUAUUAAGUUGGAGAAGAUAUGCCAUGGCCCCGUCGCACCAGAGUCCUUUAGCAAAUUGAGAGCCAUUAGGGUCAAAGAUUGCCACCCAUUGAAAUACUUGUGGUCUCUUUCAGAUACGCAAAGACUUGUACAGCUGAAAGAAAUUGACGUGUGGGAAUGUAAGUCAAUGCAAUCCAUUGUCGCACAUGAUGCAGGAGAGGGUAUAGUUUCUACUGAUGACAGAGUUGAGUUGCCUAAUAUAUGUCAUCUGAGCUUGAGUGAGUUACCAAAUAUGAUGAGCUUUUGUGCAAAGUUGAAAUCACAUCAGAGGAUACUCCAAUCCAGGUAAUUUUUAUUUUCAUUUUUUCAUUUUUUCCCUUUGUCAAUUUGUCCUGUUAGGAUGAGAUGAUAUUGGUGUUCACUCAACGUCAGUACAUAUUGCAUUUAACUUUGACUACUUGUACAAUUUGAUUCAUGUUUGAUUUACAGAUAAAAAAAAUCCUCUCAAAUAGAACACAGGCCAUAUUAAAGGGAAGCCUCUUUCCACGACUGAUUUUUAAAUAUAUAUAUAUAUAUAUAUAUAUAUAUAUAUAUAUUUUAAAAAUUGACAUUAGAAAAUUGCACUACUUACUUGGGUUCCUACUGUGACUAAUUUUUUACUUAUUUAACAUUCUUAAUGAGAUGAAAAAAAUAGUGUCCUGAACGAAUGAAAGCGACAAUGAAUCUUGGAUGAAUAAAUAAAAUUCAACAAUUUGAAAAUAAAGAAAGCGACGUCCAUAAAUUUAAUAAAUGGAUGGAGUCACGUAACAAAGAAAGUCCCCAUAAUUCAUGUCCCGUCUAACAUACAAUUUGCAAUUGAUUCCAACAUAUCAUGCAAAGUUAGUUGCCAAUGUCACUAUGUCAACAUCACUGUGCAGUUGAGCUGCAUUAACAGCAUGAUAGCGGUGAGGAUAUCCUCAUGAAAAUGAUUUCGCUUUUCAUGGAAGAGGGUUUUUUUUUUUUUUUCUGUAUUUUAGCCCCGGAGUUCCACUUAUUUUCUCAUGAAAAUAGCUUUACUUGUAACAGACUCACCUUUAAUGAGUUGCAUCGUGACACUUCGUUAGGUUUCAUUGCCUCACUUGGAAUCCCUGAAAAUGAAUGGACUCCUUGGCAUAGAAAAGAUGCUCUACAAUGAACCUUCGUUAAAAUAUAGCAAUUUAAGAUCACUAGUGAUAAACAAGUCUAAAUCCAUGUUGAAGAGUAUUCUGAGCUCUCCAUUGAAGCUGCCGAAUUUGGAAUCAAUGGACACUGUGAGCUCUCCAUCAAUAGAAGUAGUUUUCGACUUGGAGGAGCUAGAGGUUAGAGGAGAUGUUGAGAUCCUAUCUUAGCUAACUGCAUUGACAUUAAAACAAUUAUCAAACUUGCAGUGCAUGUGGAAACGGGAUGUGAAAUUACAAGUAAUAUCGAUACUUCGUAACCUAAGGAAGCUCUAUGUCUAUGAAAUGGGGCUAUCAUCUCUCUUUUCGAUAUCUGUGGCUAAAUGUUUCAGGGAAAUUAGAGACAUUAUAGUGUCGAACUGUCCAAAUAUAAAGGCGGUGAUUGUGGAUGAAGGAAGAAAUGAAGGGACAUAUGAUAUUAUAGAGUUCCCACUACUGGAGUGUCUAUCUAUUAAGGGAUGUCCCAUGGAGAAAUUCUUAUCAUAUCCUUGUGGAAAGAAAGAGCCAGUAAUCAUUUACUGCUUCAGAUCCACAAAACUCCAAUUCCUUCUUUGAUCGAAAGAUACAAAUCCCUUCUCUUGAGGUUAUACCUAUACUACACAUUUUUAUUCACAUUCAACUAUAGGUCGAGGGAAGCCUCUUUCUACGACUACUUUUUUAUUUCUAUUAUUUUUUCAAUUUUAAAUAAUUUCACUAAUUAAUUGGGCUCAAGGGUUUCUAAUAUGACUAAUUUAUUACUCGUAUAACAUUUCUAAUGAGUAGAAGAAGCAGUGUAUUGAACAAAUGAACCUUCAAAGAAUGAACGUUUUAAAAUAAUUUCAAAAUGAAUAAAGCAACCUCUAGAGAUUAAAUAAACAGAAGGUGAACGAAGAGCCACGUAACAAAGGAAGUCCACACAAUUCACGUCCCAACUUCAUGCAAGUUGGAACUGAUUCCAACACAUCAUGCCAACAUUACCGUGUCAACGUCAGCUAUUUUGGGGAUAUUUUGGGGACAUUUCCUUCUCCACUUUUUCAGGCUCGACGAAAGAUCUCAAGUUUUCAUUCUCCAUUCAAUUGAGUUUUAAAUAUUUUAUAUUGAUCGAUUAAGUUUUUGAGGUUUUUAAAAGCAAUAAUCCCAUUCGUACACUAUGGGUCCAUUCAUAUUCUUUCAGGCAAGGGUUGUGGAUGGAGGAGGAGGAGAUGAAGGGACAGAGUCAGUAAUCACUACUUCAGAUUUACAGAAUACUUAUUUAGAUUCCUUCUUCGAUGAUAAGGUAAACAUCCCUUCUCUUGAGAUUUUACCCAUAAUAGCCAUAGACACUCGGUAUGCUAGGGCGGGUAACAAUAUCCCUCUGAAGAUUCUUAUUUGGUUUGUUUGUUAAAAUGUGUUCCCAAUUUAUAACUAUGUUUGUUGGUGAAUAUUAAUUCUUCCACUGCAUUAGAUUGGUGGUUAGGAUUAGGCCAAAUUAUCAAAUAUUUCACAUUCGUAAUCCGACGCAUAACUCUUAUGAGCAGAUCAGUUUACCAAACUUGGAGGACUUAAAGCUUAACUCGGUGGGAUCCUUCAAAAGGAUAUGGCACGAUGAACUUUCCAGAAGUUCCUUUUGCAAAUUGGUCAAAAUCACCAUUAGAAAUUGCUCCGACCUACUCCACAUCUUCCCUUCGACAAUCAUAGGGAGAUUGCACAACCUGCAAAGUAUCGAGGUUAAAAACUAUCCAUCCUUGAAAUCGUUGUUCGAUUUUGGGUUCCUAAAUUCAUACAUAGUACGAAACACGGUAUUGCUCCAUGAAUUGGUAAGGAUCGACGUUGAAAGUUGUCCCUCCCUAGAAUCAUUGUUUAAUUGUGGGUCCCUUAAUUCAAAUGCGGAGCACAAAAUUAUAUUGCUCCCCAAAUUGGAGGAAGUGAGGGUGAGUGGAGCAAAAAAGCUGAGACACGUGAUCAUGACCCACUCCCAAAUGGUUUUGAAAUUUCCCAGUCUUAGAACUGUUAGUGUUGAGAAUUGCUCCCACCUGGGAUAUCUCUUCCCUAAUUAUAUGGCUACAACUUUGGAGAAGCUUAAGAGGCUAGAAAUUGGUCAAUGUGAACGGAUGAAACAAGUGAUUCUCGAGGAAGAAGUUGGUCGAUCAGAGGCAGAAGUGAUGAGUUUCCCUUGCUUAAGUAAAUUAACACUUAAGGAGCUCAAUAACUUGAUUAGUUUCGGUUCAGGAAGUGUCGAGAGGCAGUUAGGCGAGACAGCCGAAGAAAAUGAUGAAUCGCAACAACCGCUGUUCAAUGAGAUGGUUCGUUCUAUUCUUUAUUGUGAUCAUUCGUAUUAUCGCAUUAUCAUGUUUUAUAAUGAAGAAUGUAAUAAAUUUGUCCAACUUAUCCUCCUUUCUCACAUUAUCCUUGUGCAGUUUACAUUUCCAAAUAUGAGAUAUCUAGAAGUUGAAGGCGUUCCAUGCAAAGAGCUAUGGAACAAUCAUGUUCCUGCCGAUUCCAUUGUUUGUUCCCAUAGAUUCCUUUCAAAAAGUGUGAAGGUUAAAAACUGUCCAUCCUUGAUAUCGUUGUUUCAUUUUGGAUCCCUAGAUUCAAAUACGAAACAAAAUGCGGUAUUGCUCCCUGAAUUGGUAAGGAUCAAUGUUGAAAGCUGUCCCUCCCUAGAAUCGUUUUUUUAAUUAUGGGUCCCUUAAUUCAAAUGCGGAGCACAAAAUUAUAUUGCUCCCCAAAUUGGAGGAAGUAAGGGUGAGUGGAGCAAAAAAGCUGAGACACGUGGUCAUGAGCCACUCCCAAAUGGUUUUGAAAUUUCCUAGUCUUAGAAAUGUCUGUGUUGAGAAUUGCUCUGACUUGAGAUAUCUCUUACCCAAAUAUACGGCCACAACUCUAACGAAACUUGAGUGGCUAACAAUUAGUAAAUGCGAACAGAUGAAUGAAGUGAUUCUCGAGGAAGAAGUUGGUCGAUCAGAGGCAGAAGUGAUGAGUUUCCCUUGCUUAAGUAAAUUAACACUUAAGGAGCUCGAUAACCUAAUUAGUUUCGGUUCAGGAAGUGUCAAGAGGCAGCUAGGCGAGACAGCCGAAGAAAAUGAUGAAUCGACACAACCGCUGUUCAAUGAGAUGGUUCGUUUUAUUCUUUACUGUGAUAAUUCGUAUUCUCACAUUAUCAUGUUUUAUAAUGAAGAAUCUAAUAAAUUUGUCCAACUUAUCCUCCUUUCUCACAUUAUCCUUGUGCAGGUCACAUUUCCAAAUAUGAGAUAUCUAGAAGUUGAAGGCGUUCCAUGCAAAGAGCUAUGGAACAAUCAUGUUCCUGCCGAUUCCAUUGUUUGUUCCCAUAGAUUCCUUUCAAAAAGUGUGAAGGUUAAAAACUGUCCAUCCUUGAUUCGUUGUUUCAUUUUGGAUCCCUAGAUUCAAAUACGAAACAAAAUGCGGUAUUGCUCCCUGAAUUGGUAAGGAUCAAUGUUGAAAGCUGUACCUCCCUAGAAUCAUUGUUUAAUUAUGGGUCCCUUGAUUCAAAUGCGGAGCACAAAAUUAUAUUGCUCCCCAAAUUGGAGGAAGUAAGGGUGAGUGGAGCAAAAAAGCUGAGACACGUGGUCAUGAGCCACUCCCAAAUGGUUUUGAAAUUUCCUAGUCUUAGAAAUGUUUAUGUUGAGAAUUGCUCUGACUUGAGAUAUCUCUUCCCCAAAUAUACGGCCACAACUCUGACGAAACUUGAGUGGCUAAUAAUUAGUAAAUGCGAACAGAUGAAUGAAGUGAUUCUCGAGGAAGAAAUUGGUCGAUCAGAGGCAGAAGUGAUGAGUUUCCCUUGCUUAAGUAAAUUAACACUUAAGGAGCUCGAUAACCUGAUUAGUUUCGGUUCAGGAAGUGUCAAGAGGCAGCUAGGUGAGACAGCCGAAGAAAAUGAUGAAUCGACACAACUGCUGUUCAAUGGGAUGGUUCGUUUUAUUCUUUACUGUGAUAAUUCGUAUUCUCACAUUAUCAUGUUUUAUAAUGAAGAAUCUAAUAAAUUUGUCCUACUUAUCCUCCUUUCUCACAUUAUCCUUGUGCAGGUCACAUUUCCAAAUAUGAGAUAUCUAGAAGUUAAAGGCGUUCCAUGCAAAGAGCUAUGGAACAAUCAUGUUCCCGCCGAUUCCAUUGUUUGUUCCCAUAGAUUCUUUUUAGAAAAUGUGAAGGUUAAAAACUGUCAAUCCUUGAAAUCGUUGUUUGAUUUUGGUUCUCUAGAUUAAAAAAUGAAACAAAACGCAGUAUUGCUCCCUAAAUUGGUAAGGAUUGAAGUUGUAAGUUGUCCCUCCCUAGAAUCAUUGUUUAAUUAUAGGUCCCUUGAUUCAAAUGUGGAGCACAAAAUUAUAUUGCUCCCCAAAUUGGAGAAAGUUAGGGUGAGUGGAGCAAAAAAGCUAAGACACGUACUGUUCAUGCUGAAGCUCUCGACUGGGUUUGCGCGAGCACUGUUCAUCGCCUGCGCGUCUCCCAUUUCCGGCCGUUCUGGCCGGCCGAUUGCGCCCAUGCUUGGAGACAACAUUCCUCUACAUCUGAUCUUGUCUUCUACCGAGCGGUUUUCCCUGGUAUGUCUUCCUCAGCUGGAAUCUCGGAUCUGAGUUCUUAGGGCUUGAAAUUUUGAGUUCGCCGUCUCCGAAUGGCGUCUUCCUCUGAGGUAGUGGAAGAUAACCGGGGUAAAGCCCAUGUUGUUGCUCCGGUUGAGCACCCUCACUCCCCCACACCCACUCAUAACCCUGUUAUGCGAUACUCCUCGGCUCUAAGAGGACCUCGCGCCCACUCUGGGCGUUCGCGAAGCAGGGGACAAAGCAGGGCUCGUCCUCUGCUGGGUAUUCCUGCUCGGCUAAAUGCUGUUGGGCGUGAUAACGCCUCUGCUGGUCUAAAUCGAAAGGAUAGGAAGAUCUCCUUCAGCCGUGACACUGCAUCUAUCCCUGUUCUCCACGGUCGUGAGGCCAAAGGGCGUCCGAAUGCCCCGAAUAAGGCGCCGGAGGAGCCAUUUCUGAAUGUACAUGUUCCCCCUGUGAAGGAAACUCCCCCUCCUGCUCGCUCCUGGGCUGCUGUAACCCGUUCGGCAACCAAAGGCUAUGGUUUAUCCUUUGUUCCUCCGGCCACAAUUGAGAACUCUAAGAUUCUGCAGAUGCCGGAGGAGAUUCUCGAAUCUACUCACCCGAAAUGGGAAGAAUGUCUGGUUGGUUACUACAUUGGGAAGCGCCUACCCUUCCACCUCACAGAGGACGCCCUCAAGAAUGCCUGGGGCCAUCACUUGGUCGAAGUUAUUGCUGCUGACCUUGGUUUUUACUUCUUUCACAUUCCGGAUAGUGAAUUCAGGAGGAAAGUCUUGGAUGGAGGCCCGAUUACAGUAGCCAAAAUCCCCUUGAUCCUGCAACAAUGGCACCCUAUGUUGGAGCUCAAGAAAUCAACUCAUAAUACUGUCCCCAUCUGGAUUCGACUCAGGAACGUCCCUGUGGCUCUAUGGUCUGCUGCUGGCAUCAGUUUUCUGGCAAGUAGUAUUGGUAAGCCCUUAUUUGUUGAUAAUCGAACUGAACAGAUGGCAAUGGUAGCUUUUGCUCGAGUCUGUAUAGAAGUUGAUACGUCUAACUCUUUCCCUGAAGUUAUAGAGUUUAUGAUGAAGGGUGAGCUUAGAUCAGUGACAGUCCAAUAUGAGUGGAUCCCGACACUUUGUCCAACCUGCUCUUCAUUUGGCCAUAGAUGUCCUGCCCCCAAUUCCUCAGAUCCUACUAAACCUGGUCCCUCAGUCCCGAAGGCACCUGUCCCUCGUCCAAACGAAUGGCGUGAAGUGCGUGGUAAACGCAAUAAGCGCACCCCGAUGCCUGCAAAUGAUGGCCUGAUGUAUGAUCCGGUCCCGAAUCGUCCCAAGUCCCCCCGUUCUGAAGGAAACCAGAUUGGAGAUCCGAUGCCUCAGAUUUCAAUGGCCCUUCAUAGGCAACCAGAGUUAACCAGGCAGGAGGAUCAUCAUCCUUCCUUUGAUCUGUUCCCUGCCACCUCUAUUGACCCAGAUUCCGCUGCUGUGAUGCAAAGACAGGGUUCCCCUGGCUCGAAUAAGUCUGCACCUUCAGAUGAAAAUCAUGAAGAUAUCAGCUCCGAUGACGGUGAAUCUGUAUCACCUUGUAAGGUGCCCUCGUCCAUACCGGAGGAACGCGAUAAAUUUCCCCCUCCGAAGGUCAAUCAGGAGGCCCCUGUUCGUCAAAAAGGAAUCCUCCGCUCUGAAUCUGCUGAGGCAAGUAUUCCUGCUGGCCCGAAGCUUAUGCCACACUCGGUAAGGAAACGAGGUGGCAAGAGAAGGUAAUCCUAUUAUCUCAUUCCUAUGUUUUUUGGUGUUUGGAAUAUUAGGGGUCUUGGACAAGCCCUCAAACAAGCUGAGAUUAGGAAUUUUGUGAGGACUAACCGCCUCUGCUGUAUUGGUAUUUUGGAGACUAAAAUAUCCCCUGCUGCCCAUUCCCAUGUUUCAGCAUCCCUUCUUCCUAGGUGGUCUUGGUCUACAAAUUACUCUUAUUCCAUCAGGGGUCGUAUUUGGGUGGGUUGGAACCCCUUGGCUGCUUCUUUUUGCAUCUCAGCUUGUUCUGCUCAGGCCAUUCAUGGCCGGUUGGAGUGUUUUAUUUCUGGUGUUGCUUUUAAUCUUUCGGUAGUCUAUGCGGAGCAUUCUUUUGUCUUGAGAAGACCGCUUUGGAAUGAUCUGAUCUCCACUAGUUCCAUUUGUCUGGACAUCCCCUGGAUUGUUGCUGGUGACUUCAAUGCCAUUCGGUAUGCUUCUGACAGAGCAGAUAGAUCCAAUUACUGGAUCCCAGCCUUUGAAGACUUCGGAGAUUGCCUCAUCCAAUCUGGUCUAGAUGAUCUCCGCUUUGUGGGUAACAGGUUUACUUGGUCUACUUCGUCUGGUCCUAAUCGAAGGCAAAGAAAGAUAGACAGAGUUCUUACUAAUGCAGCUUGGAUCUCGGCCUUCUCCUAUUCGGAAGCCAACUUUCUUGCCCCUGGAGUGUCUGAUCACUCUCCUAUGGUGGUCAGGAUUCUCCCUGUUCCUAGCUCGCGUAAACCCUUCAAGUUCUUCAAUUUUUGGAUGUCACACCCCAACUUCUUUGAGUUGGUUCGGCAAAUCUAGGAGCUGCGUAUCUCUGGUACGCCUAUGUUUGUCCUUUGUAGUAAGCUUAGGUCCCUUAAACGCAGACUCAAAUUAUUAAACAGGGAGGCUUACUAUGAUAUUUCGGCUAGAACUUCUGACGCCAGACGUCUUCUCGUGGAAGCUCAAAACGCUAUUCAGUUUGACCCUCAUAAUCAAGCUCUAGCUGAUGCGGAAAAGGACCACCUCCGUGUCUUUUCUGACCUUCGCCUCAAGGAAGAAUCUUUCUACAGACAAAAAUCAAGGGUCAGAUGGCUUAAAGAAGGUGACUUAAACACCAGGUUCUUCCACCACUCGGUGAAGCGAGGCCAUCUCCGGAAUAGAAUUCUCUCGAUUUCUGAUGGUAGUAAUGUAAUUACUGAUGAAGUUGAAGUGCAGCAACUCUUUGUUAAUCACUUUCAAAAUCUGCUGUCAGACGCUACCCCCUCCGCCGUCCCGUCUGUUGAAGAGAUUCGUGCGAAUCUGGCUUCUACGCUCGAUGAUAAUCAGAUCCAAGCCAUCUCUCAGCCAUUCACUGAAGAAGAAAUCCAAACUACUUUGUUUUCAUUGGCCACCGGAAAAGCCCCUGGCCCGGAUGGUUUUAAUGUUGAUUUCUUUAAGCAAUCGUGGGAUAUUGUAGGCCCUUCCGUUCUAUUGGCAAUUCGGGACUUCUUAUCUACAGGCCAGCUGCUUCGUGAGAUCAACACCACUAUUCUGACCUUGGUCCCGAAGUCCCCCAAUGCUUCCACGGUAAAUGACUUCCGUCCUAUUGCUUGUUGCAACACUAUAUACAAGUGUAUCACGAAACUGUUAGCCAAUAGGUUAGCUUCUAUGCUCCCAUCUAUAAUUAGUCCCCCCCAGAACGCUUUUGUUAAAGGGAGGAGGAUAAGUGAUAAUAUCAUGCUUGCUCAAGAAUUAUUUGCUCACUUCCACCAUGAGCCUUACUUUCCAAAGAACAUUAUUAAGGUUGAUUUCUCCAAAGCUUAUGACUCAGUUGACUGGAACUUUAUUGAGUCGACUCUCCAAGCAUUUGGCUUCCCACCCACAUUUAUUGAUCGAAUUAUGACAUGCAUCAGAACCCCCAAGUUCUCUAUAGCUUUAAACGGUGAGUUGCAUGGUUUUUUCCCUAGUGGGAGAGGUAUCCGACAGGGGGACCCUCUGUCCCCAUAUAUCUUUACUCUUGUAAUGGAAGUUUUUGCGGGCAUUAUAAAUGCCCGCACCUGCAAACCCGGAUUUCAGUUCUUUUGGCGUUGUAAACCCUCCAAGUUGUCCCAUCUAUUCUUCGCUGACGAUGUGUUGCUCUUCUCGGAAGCAAACAUGCCGUCUCUAAGCCUUCUAAUGGAUGGAGUAAACACUUUUGCUGCCUGGUCUGGUCUCAUCCCAAAUCUUAAUAAGAGUGAAAUCUUUAUCUCUGGGGGGCAUGAGUCUUUGAAGAGUGCAAUGGUUAAUGCAUCGGGGUUCAACCUUGGAUCAUUGCCCUUUCGAUACCUUGGCGUCCCCGUAAUUUCCUCAAGAUUAGGCAAGGAAGAGUGUGUAUCUCUGGUGGAUGCUAUAAUGAAGAGAGUUCAGUCAUGGACUAACCGCUUCCUUUCAACUGCUGGUAGACUCCAACUUAUUAGAUCUGUUCUCCAUUCCAUUCAGGUGUAUUGGUCUUCGGUUUUUAUCCUCCCCUCCUCAGUUAUUAAUCGAAUUGAGCAGAUCUUCCGCCAAUUUCUUUGGCGUGGCCCGAACCUUGGAUCUGGUGGUGCUAGAGUUUGUUGGGAAGAAGUCUGUCUUCCUAAAGCGGAAGGAGGACUAGGUAUUCGCUCACUUCGAGUUAGUAACAUUGCUGCCAUGACUAAGCAUAUAUGGUUGCUUUUCUCUGAUAAGGAAUCGCUCUGGACCAAAUGGAUACAUUCAGUCUUCUUAAAACACAAGAAUUUUUGGAUUGCGCCUAGACCGACCGUUUGUUCUUGGUCUUGGAAGAAACUCUUUGGCCCGCGUGAAUUGAUUCAGAGGUAUUUUGCCUGGAACAUUGGUAAUGGGUUAUCGACUUCUUUUUGGUUUGAUACCUGGCACCCUCGUGGCCCAUUCAACAAGUUAUUCUCGGAUCGUGACAUAUAUUGCUCUCGUAUCCCUCGGAAUGCUUCUGUUGCUACGGGUAUUGCUGCCCUGUCUAUCCCGUCUAAUGUAGCUGUUGCUAUCCAGACUUGGGUUGAUCCUCUCCCCAGCCUCAACAGUCAGGAUGACCGUCUGGUGUGGCUUGGCCACUCUUCAGGUCAGUUCUCUACUGCUUCUGCAUGGACUAUGCUUCGAGCUAGAGGCUCCUUGGUUAACUGGUCUCGAUUUGUCUGGAGCUCCACUCUUCCCCCGCGUUAUCAGACCCAUCUAUGGCUGAUCACUCGGAAUAGAUUGCCAACCUAGGUCUUGCUUCUGUCGUAUGGGAGGAUCCCGGAUGUUUCCUGUGCCUUCUGCUCAAGUAGGCCAGAUUCAAUCGACCACUUAUACUUUGGUUGCUCAGUUACGGGUAGAUUGGCCUCUUUCUGGGCUUCUAAAUGUAAUUUGAGUUGGCGAAAUGGUCCUUGGAAAGAGAAUCUACAGUGGAUGGUCAGCCAUCUCUCGGACUCGUGCUUCCACCAUUCCAUUGCUCGCUUUGCAUUUGCUACCCUGUGCUACCUUAUAUGGAAGGAGCGAAAUAACAUCAUCUUUCGGAAUCAAAGCCUAUUCCUGCCCGCUCUCAAAGAUCGUCUUCGGAAAGCUGUCAAAGAUAGAGCCUCCACAUUCUCAAGAGUUCCGGAUAACCCGCGUAACCGAAGACUCCAAAUGUGCUGGGGAAUCCACCCUGCAAUCUUUGAGUAAGGUCUCCAUACUGGCCUGUCUUCCUUGCGCUGUGAGAUGUUGCUGCUGUUGAAUAUGCGUCCUGCUCUCCCUUCGCAAGGCUGGUCUGCCUCUGUUUCAGUUGUUGCCGAGAUAUUCCCCUCCGCAGGCUCCUUGGCUUGGCAGUCUGUGGUUCCCGGGUUCUUGGCGUUUGCCUGGUUUUUUUUAUUGGCCGUCGUGUUUGGCCUUUUGCAGCUUUUGCUGCUAUUGUUUCCUUUUGGCUUUUUAGGCCCCGCCUCCCAUCCACUCAGUCUGACGCCUGUGUCAUUUUGAGUGCAUGAUUGGAGUCGCCUGUCUGUCUUGCCUCUUUGUAACUCCUUGUUUCUUUAGCUAUAAUAUUCUUACCUCUUACCAAAAAAAAAAAAAAAAAGCUAAGACACGUGAUCAUGAGCCACUCCCAAAUGGUUUUAAAAUUUCCUAGUCUUAGAAAUGUCUGUGUUGAGAAUUGCUCUGACAUGAGAUAUCUCUUCCCCAAAUGUACGGCCACAACUCUGACGAAACUUGAGUGGCUAACAAUUAGUAAAUGCGAACAGAUGAAUGAAGUGAUUCUCGAGGAAGAAGUUGGUCGAUCAGAGGCAGAAGUGAUGAGUUUCCCUUGCUUAAGUAAAUUAACACUUAAGGAGCUCAAUAAUCUGAUUAGUUUCGGUUCAGGAAGUGUCAAGAGGCAGCUAGACGAGACAGCCGAAGAAAAUGAUGAAUCGACACAACUGCUGUUCAAUGGGAUGGUUCGUUUUAUUCUUUACUGUGAUCAUUCGUAUUCUCACAUUAUCCUGUUUUAUAAUGAAGAAUGUAAUAAAUUUGUCAAACUUAUCCUCUUUUCUCACAUUAUCCUUGUGCAGUUUACAUUUCCAAAUAUGAGAUAUCUAGAAGUUGAAGGCGUUCCAUGCAAAGAGCUAUGGAACAAUCAAAUUCCCACCGAUUCCUUUCAAAAGUUGGAAUAUCUGUUAUUGAGUAACUGUGACAAUCUCCAACAUAUUGCCACUUCUUAUAUGUGGAAGAGGCUGCAACGUUGUCUCGAGAAACGGCAUUUCUCCCUGAAUUGGUAAGGAUCAAUGUUGAAAGUUGUCCUUCCCUAGAAUCGUUGUUUAAUUGUGGGUCCCUUGGUUUUGCAUGGUCUCGAAAACUUGAGGUGCAUUUGGCAGUUCGACAGUCUCCCAAACAUCCCGUUCCCAAACUUGAGAGAUGCAGAGGCUAUGAGGUGCCCCCGUUUGGAAAUGCUUUUUCCUACCUUCACUGCAAAAUUUCUCGGGCAAAUCAAAGAGCUAGUGGUGGAGUCAUGUGAAGAUAUGGAACUAAUUGCUAGCCAUGAAAAAUGGGAAGAAGCGACCGGCACCACAAUCACCUUCUCCAAGUUAACUGCUCUUAGACUUUUUAAGUUGCCGAAAUUCAAGGGCUUCUUACCUGAGAUAUACUCUCUGAAAUUCCCAUGCUCUGAGGACUUCCCAUCCUUGCGAGUCUUGAGUAUAGAAAGCUGUGGAGUAGAGCCGGACCAAGUCCUUGGU
RNAcentral lists this long non-coding RNA (75809 nucleotides) under Eucalyptus grandis. Its description in RNAcentral is "long non-coding RNA (EGRA_LNC004032)". Lineage: Eukaryota; Viridiplantae; Streptophyta; Magnoliopsida; Myrtales; Myrtaceae. The record is from RNAcentral.